This 86860-nucleotide long non-coding RNA is filed under the name Ananas comosus (pineapple). Its description in RNAcentral is "long non-coding RNA (ACOM_LNC001683)". The record is from RNAcentral. Lineage: Eukaryota; Viridiplantae; Streptophyta; Magnoliopsida; Poales; Bromeliaceae.
CGGCUGUUUGUUUCUCGGAAAGCGCCAUAAUUAUCAAUAGUAUUGUAGCCCAAAUAUAUAUAUAAAUCUAUAAAUCUAAUCUUACGAACAGUUAUGAUAAAUUUAUUAAAAAAUAUUUGGGCUAGAAUACUAUUGAUAGUAUUUGCCCUAUUUUACUAUCAAGUUUUUAGGCUUUGGAUCAAUCCUUUCAUCAAUUUUAAUAAUUGGAUUAAAUAUUAUAACCCAGUGGAGACCACUCAACCCUAGAAAACUACUCAACCCUAAGAGACUAAUAUCAUUCUAACUAUACAAUUUCUCAUCCAAGGGUUAAAACUUGAUAGCAAAAAAAACUUUUGCUAUCAAUAGUAUGCCGGCCUUACUCUAGAAAGAUAUUUUCAAUUAAUAAAUAAAUCCAAAUCUGAAUUUCAUGAUUACACUUCGAAAAGAUACACGUGGCACCUCCACGUUUUUUUUAUUUUAAAAUUUUCAUACAAAUAUAAAAAUUCAGACAAAUAUAUAAAUUGGUGGUUUGUUAGAUACACGUGGUGGCUCCACAUUUUUUUAGUAUUUUUUAUUUUGAAUUUUUCAUACAAAUAUAAAAAUUGACGGUUUGUUAGAUACACGUGGGGACUCCCUAGUUCAAAAUAUUAAUCAAAUUUAAAUUGAAAAUUUCGACCUUUUAUAGAAUACGACAAAUUAAUCAAGAUAAAAGUGGUGGAGUUUGAUAUUUUCUAUCAAUUUUGGACUAAGACACGAUAAAGUCAAAUUAAUUUGAACUUAUAAUAUUAUUAUCUUAAUUAAUGGCAAAUUUUGGAACGGAAAUGAGAGGUUUACCGGGGUUAAUUUAAUCGUAAAUUUGGGAAUGGAUAUUAGAGUUUGUUUAGGGAAUUUAGAGUUUGUUAAUUAGGGAGGAGGAUCAUGUGGACACGCAAUAGAGCUAGAUAUUAUCAUUAGGAAAUAAAUGGGAUUAAAAAAUAUUUACACGUGUUCAAUUAGUAGAUCAUUGCUGAAGAGAUAUAAAUUGCAAAAGACAAAAGAUAAGAAGUUAAUAUUAAAUAACAUCACAUUGUAAAUUUAUAUUAAAUAACAAACUCUAAAUUCCCUAACAAACUCAACCUAUGAGACCCCACCCAACCAAUGACACAAAAUUUUUUAUUAAAAUUUGUACAUUUAUAUUUCAAUUAAAGACUUGAAUUUAAACUUUAGUUUAAAUUUAAAUUCUAGUUCUAAAGUUUAAUUUAAAUUUUAAAUUAAAUAUUUAAAUUUAAAUUUUAAUCAAAUUAUUUUUAGCUACGAACUUCAAUUUGAACUUUGAAUUCAAAUUGUUCCGAACUAUAAUUCAAAUUCUAUUGAAUAUUGAAUUCCAAAUUUUAAUUUUAAAGUUAAAAAUUUAAUUUAAGUUACCAAUUAUAAUUUAAGCUUUAAAUUCAUAUUACAAAUUUAAUUAUUUGUCUUAAAUAUUAAUUAUAAAUUUAAUGUAAAUUUAAAAUUUAAAACUUAAAUUAGAAUUUUAAAUAUAAAAAUUACGUGCGUAAGUUGUUUGUUUAUAUUUUUCACUUCUUUAUUUAUUUAUAAUUAUUAUUUACCAUCACAAAUAUAUCUCUCUAAAAAUCAAAAUAGUAUAAUAUAAGAGAGAUAAAAAUAUUAAAAACUAAUCAAGAUUAAAUAUUUAAGCUAUGGUUAACUAAAAUUUUUUAACAGAUUCUAACGGAAGAGAUAUAUUUAAAAAUAUUAAGGCUUAGUUUGGUAUUGAGACCUAUCUAACGCUAUUAGACUAAAUGGAGUUGAGGAAAAAUAAAAAUCAUAUAGCGUUAUGCUUCUGCGUUCUCCGAUGAGACCGUAGCCAGAGAAUCGCAGCUCAUCGCGAUAUGCGGAAUGCAAUAUUAUGUACCGAAAACAAACCGGGUAGUUUUCCAACAUACUUUUUCACCGUACGUAAAGCAAUCUCUCCACAAUUCCAUACGAACCCUAAGUAAGUUUUUUACAGAAGCAAUAUAUAAUAAAAUUUAAACAUUGAGGAUAUACUUGUCAUUUAUUAUAUCUGCAGUAACCUUCGUAAAACUAACCCACCCUUCGUUUAAAUAGAUUAUUUUCCACCUCUCCGAUAAGUCAAUUGCAUUAUUAUUUUUCCUGGCUCUCUCUCUCUUCUCUCCCACUCCGAGUUUUCCAUGGACCGUAAGGAUCGUAUAUCCUACAUCGGCAUGAGUUCAAUAAUUGUGGCCGGAUUUGUGUGGUGGGGAUUGAUAAUCUUGGCCGGCAAAGAAAUUAAUUUAGAUUUCGAUCAGCACUUCUCGGUCGCUGAUGCUCGUCUCGCGCGCUUCAGCGCGUUCGCGGCGCCCAACGUCACAUCCGCCACUCUAUCCUACGACCUCCGCGCCGCGCUGCUUGUGUAUAAUCCGGUCCAGCUCGGCAUCACCUGCGAGUUCCUGAUGGGCAACUACUUCUUCAACGGCACCCACUUGGCGGGGCGGGUGGUCGCGCCGUUCCGCCUGGACAGCGAGACCGCCACCGAGCUCCGGAUGGACGUCGCGGGCGAUACGGAGGGACGCAUGGCGUUGCUGGACGAGUUCGAGAGGGGCAGCCGGACGGGGGUGUUCGACCUGGAACUGCGGCUCGACGGCUUCUUCUCCGCGCGAUGCCCGCUUACGCUGCCGUUGGCGCCGGCGGCCGGCGGCGGCACCGCCGUCGACACGAUAAAGUGCAAGCUGCUCGUCCUAAAACGAAGUUGCGGAGCAUUAUAAUCAAUGAGAUUAGUUUUUCAUUUUGCUUUUUCUAUUAUCGAAUAAUGGAAUUGCAUGCGCGUCUUAUAAUUAGCUAGGGUCGGUUAAUUAAUUAAUUUGGUUCCUUUGAAAAUUAAGUGUGAGAAAAAUUUUCUACACAUUUUUUUUUUUUUAGAUUUGUUUUAAAAUUUUUGUCUGUUUAAUUUUAGGAAAAAAUAAUUAUGUUAGAAACACUUUUUCUCGAAUUUUAUAUGAUUGGUUCUUAUUCAUCUAUUUUACAUUAAAAUUAAAACUUAAGUUUAAAUUAUGAAUUAAAUUUAAUUUUUGAUACCAAAUUUGAAUUAACAUUUAAUUUUUUUACUACAGUGGAUCAAAAUUAAAUUUUAAAUUUUAAAUUUUAAAUUAAAUGUAAAUUAAAUUUUGAUGCUUUUAGUUUAAAACACAUAUUUAAAUUUGAUUCAUCAAAAAUUAAAAAGUAUAUAAAAAAGGUUCGCUCUAUACAAAAAAUAGAAUGCUGUAGAAUAUUGUAAAUAUUUUCUAAUAAAAUAUAACAUAUUAAUUUAUAAAUAUAAUUUUUAUUGUAAAAUUUUGGAUUUAUAUAAUGUACAAAUUUAUAUAGAUUUGAAAUAAAUUAUAAUAAUUGUUACGUGCAUUUACACGUAUGUUCAACUAGUCCAUACAAAUAUAUAAAUUGAUGGUUUGUUAGAUACACGUGGUCCAUAUCUCGAGGUUUUCUCAGUAUUUUUUGUUUUGAAUUUUUCAUAUAAAUAUAAAAAUCGGCAGUUUGUUAGAUACACAUGGUUUCUCCACGUUUUUCUAAUAUUUUUUUUAUUUGAAUUUCAUCCAUACAAAUAUAUAAAUUGACGUGGCGCCACUAUGUUUUUCUAAUAUAUUUUUUAUUUUGAAUUUCAUCCAUACAAAUAUAUAAAUGAGCGGUUUGUUAAAUUAACGUGCCACCUCUACAUUUUCUCAGUAUUUUUUGUUUUGAAUUUUUCAUUAAGUAUAAAAAUUAACGGUUUGUUAGAUACACGUGGCGCCUCGACGUUUUUCCAAUAUUUUUUAUUUUGAAUUUCAUGAAUAUCUUACCUCGGUAAAGUAUGAAAUCUGGAUUUCAUAAUUACACUUCGGAAAGGUACCAAAGGUACUAAAUCUAUCUAAAUCUUUUCUGUGGCGGUUUGUUAUAUACACGUCGGUUUGGCAUGUUUGUUUGGGUAGAGGUUUGUUAUAUACACGUAGGUUUGGCAUAUUUGUUUGGGUGGAAGUGGGGUCACGAGUCUAAUAAUUUUUUGUCGAAAAGCUCACACGGCAAUUGUUCCUCACCUGCACAAACGAACCAGCCAAUCCGACCCGAUGCACAACUUUGCAAAUUGGCAACAACCGAGAAUUGAGAGAAAGCACGUAAAGGGAUCCUGCAAAUUGGCACAAACAACGAGUAUUUUAUUGAUAACGAAAAGUUGGACUACAAGCGAAAGGCACACAACUCGACUUGGUCGGGCAUGGCCGAUGAAGGCAAAAUGAUCACCAAGAUACUCUGCAUCUAGCGAAGCCGACUCACUUAAUACGUCUCACCUAACUUUCCCGUACUACUCUAUAUUGGCAUCCAGUCAUUUGACUAUCCGCGGGUUCACUCGUGCUACACAUCCAAGAGGAUAUAGGUAUUUCGCUAAGGAAGUCGUCUUCGUGCUAAACGACCACUUCCGUUAUUUGGUUCGUCGUAAAAAAGUUAUGGUCGAAACUCGAGUUAACCUCAAACGGCGUAAUUGACUUCGCCCCAUCGUGGGCCGAAGUCAAUUACGGUGAAGAGAGGUGAAAAAAAUAAUAAAAUAAUAUAAUAGAUAAAGCUAGUUAGAUAUAAAUAUAUUUAAUUAUGUUACUAAUUAUUUUUUUAUUCAGUUAAUAUAUCUAAAAUAUGAUAAAAUUUGAUGAGUUAUGUUUUAAAAUUUUUUUAUUUAGUUUGUAUAUUUAAAAUAUGAUAAAAAUUGAUUAAUUAAGUAUUCAUAUUUUUUUACUUUAUAAUUUCAUUAUUGUAUUACUAUAAUUUAUAUAUAAAAAAUAAUUUAGUUGUUUUAAAUUAAAUUUUAAUUAUAUAAAAAUAUAAUUAUAUUAUUUUUAUUUAUUAAAAUAUUUAUUAUUUAUAUAUAAAUUAUAGUUAUAUAUUAUACACUUCCUACCAAACAAACAGCAGAACUGAUAGAACUUCAUUUCCAUAACUACGAAACAAACAGCGAGAAAGAAGUAGUUUUCACCGAACUCCAGUUCAACCCAAAGUCCACUUCAACCCAAAGUCCAGUUUCGGUGAAACAAACAUGCCCGUAGCGUCUCCACGUUUUCUCAGUAUUUUUUGUUUUGAAUUUUCCAUAAAAUUAUAAAAAUUGACCACGUUUUUCCAAUAUUUUUUUUAUUUUGAAUUUCAUGAUUAUCUUAUCUCGAUAAAAUACCAAAUCUGCAUUUCAUGAUUACACUUCGGGAAGAUAGCAAAUCUUUCCAAAUCAAAUCCAUCUCGGAAAGUUACUAAGUCUAUCCAAAUCUUUUCCAACAAAAUUCUCAUUUCCUUACCUCGGGAAGAGACAAAAUCAUCACCUUGAUUCACGUGUGUAUAUAGAAAGAUGUGUACUCAGAAAAGACAAAAUUCUCACCUUGAUUAGCAUGUAUAUAUAGGAGAACGUGUACUUAUGAUGUUGAAACUUUAAAAAAAUUUUUCAUUUUCUUACCUUGAAAAGGGACAAAAUCCUUACCUUAAUUUGGGUGUGUUAGGUGAACAUGUACUCAUGAGGUCGGAACCUUAAAAAAAUUUUCUAAUUGCCUCUUCCUCCUCCCUCUCUUAUGCACUGAACUUCACCUCACUUUAAACUGAAUUUUACAUUUCUUUUGUAUUUUUUGCUGGAUUUCUGAAAGCUAUUUGGGUUCGUGUUGCACCACCAUGAAAACGUGCCGACGAGGUAGAAGGUUGUCGUUGUAUCGCUAAAAGUGAUUGCCAAAGCCUCGCACGUGGAGGGUAAUCUCGCUUCUAAGAUAGUUUUUUUCGCACUCUCGACUUACAGUUCUCAUUUAAACCUCUUUUCUCUACAAUAUUUUGUACGUAAUCCAUCCUUAUAAUUUUUGAAAACAAAAGUUAAAAUUAUUUUUUUAGAAUUGUCUAAAAAGUAAAUUGUUCAAGCUAAAUAUAUAUUUGCAUAUUAUAUAAUUACAUAUUUUGAUGUCAAUCCAAAUUACUUAUAUAUAAAUUAAAAUAAUUAUAAUCAUUCAAGUUAAAUAUAUAUUUUGUUGUCAUUUCAUUUUAUUUUUUCAUGCCAAAUCAUUAUUGGCUACUAUUUUUUUACCAUUGCACACAUAUGUGCUGAUAUUUUAAUUCAAUUUAUUUAAAUUUAGCCGUUUAUUUUUUAAGAAUAUGAUUGAUUUUUAAACAUUAGUAACAUACUCCACCAGUUAUCAAUUAAGAUUAAUUAUCAGGACAAUGUUGGACAAAAAAUAUGCUAAAUUAAUAAAUACAAAAUUUAAUAGUUUCCAACAAAUUAGAUAGUAGCUAAUUUGGUAAGUAACUAACCUCCUAAAUUAGAAAUUAAAAUUUAACUUGAGUUUAUAGUUUAUAUUUACAAUAGUAUAUAUAAAAUGUCACGCCCCGGGGUCCCUUUGAGUUUAAAAGAUAGCGGAAAAGCGUCUGAAUUUUUUUUUUUUUUUUUUGUUUUUAAACCUGACCCAGAGUAUGCCAGACCGCCACAAAACAUGGGAUUCCAACUGUCACACGGACAGAUCUCCCCUGAUUUGCACGGCGUCGCACAAGUACAACAGUACAACAAGGAUACAACCACAACUAAAUGAAUAUAGAAAUCACUAUACCUUCAUACAUCUACCAUUCACAUCACAAAUUUGCAUUCCAUGUCUAAACAUAAAUUCAUAGAAAAUUUUUGAAAACUGUUCCCUACACAGGAACCUUAUUCUUUAAAACGCUACCGACGAGGGUAAAAACCUUUAUUUACAAAAUCCAGAAAUCCACAUUUUCAAAUGUAAAUAAAUACUGAACAACAUAAACCAAACUAAACUAAUACAUCGACUGAAAUAGAAGGGUAAGAACUAAAACCGAACAACCUGGUCGGAAGCUCUAUCGACCACAUACGAACGUACCUCACGUCUCGUCCAACUACACAUCGCCUGCAUACCUGAAAAAUGGUGGGGAGGUGAGAACAUUAAACAGUCUCCCCUCCAGUGGGUACCGCAAGCCGAAGAACGGCGAGAAGUAACUCACCGAUCCAGAAAGAGAGCUAUACAACAACACGGAGAACUAGAUAGACAUAAGUACUGGUAAGUAAAGAUGCUGAUAAGUAAGGAGCUGACAAGUAUAGAUGCACGGUAAAUAAAACAUAGCUACAAUAACCAGAUAAGCGAUGUACUGAACAAAACACUACAGCUACUGUAUGCAUGCGUCAACUGACGAUAAGUCUCAAUAGUACCCAAUCUCGUACCCUAUGGUCCGAAGACCUCAGGCCCAUGCCACACUGCUCACCUGUACUGACCCUCGAUGAAGCCCCUGGUCGAAGCACAGUACCUGACCCGCAAUGAAGCCUGGGUCAGAAGCAUUACCCUCGCAAUAUAAGCCCUGGGCUCACGGAUUGGCAAUCCAACCACUUUCCGGAAAAGAACACCUCUUGCGGUGGAUCAGACCGCUGUGUGUUCGUGAAAUGCGUAGCCGAGUGCGAUCAAUGUAGUAUGCUCAAAGAUCUCCAUCGGCAACAUAAGCCGACAAAUCCAACCCCUCAGGGCACAACGACCGUAUAGGCAUUAACAACUAUCGGCUACGUAGUCAAGAUAAGACUGUAACAACUCGACCGAAUAGGUCAUCAGAUAUCGAAAUAGGGAACCGCCCAACAAAUCACAGAUAUAGUGAACAGGAUAGAGUCACUCUACUCUAAACAUGAUACUCAACACUGAAACUCGACCGCAUGGGUCAUCAUGUAACCAAAACGACCAACCAGGUCACAAGUAAUAGCGUGAAACUUGACAUUCAGUCACAGUAUAGGAUAUGAACUCGACCAAUCAUGUCACAAGUAUAGGAUAUGAACUCGAACCAAUCAUGUCAGCAAAGUAUAUAAUCUAGAAACUACGUCGGCCACUAGCCGACAAUCCGACCCCUCAGGGUACACCGACCUCACGGUACAUCGGACAACAGAAGUCAAGGUCCGACCAACCAGGUCACUGAUACGAGGUACAAGAAACCACCAACCAGGUCACAAGUGUAGGAGAUGCAACGUCGACCAACCAGGUAAUGGAGAUCACAUAGGAGAUCAGACCAACCAAAUCAUAAAUAUCAUAUACAGAUAAAAGUCUACNNNNNNNNNNNNNNNNNNNNNNNNNAAAAUCAAAAGUGACACUUCAACAUUUAUACGCCUACUGUUUCAUUUUCUCUUGAACAUUUCUUCAGGUCUUAUCACUCUUGAUCUCUAGUACACUUUUUUCAGAAUGAAUCUAUUUAUGUUGUCCUCCAAUCCACUGAAAAGAAGGCUAAAUUAAAAAAUUGCCCGUACAUUAAAAUUUCAUUAAUUUUUACCCACCUUGUCUCGAAUUAAAAUAACUCCAAAUUUUAACACAGUGACCAGAGUUGACAAAGAGUAAGAUAAAAUUUGAUAUAAAUUUUAAUGAAACUAGAUAUUGAGAUAUUACUACGUGCAAAGUAAAUUUUUGUAAUUUACAUUAAAAAUUUACCAAUAUUCUGGUAUGCUAAUAUUAUGCGCAAUUAACUCAAAAUAAUAUUGCAUAUGGCAUAUUAGUAUAUAUAUAUAAAUUUUUUUUUUGAGUAGAUAGGUAGCACGCUGCUUCGUUUAUUUCAUUUAGAAAUAACUUAGUGAAAUGUAAAUCAAAUAGGAUUCAACUUGGGACCUUCAGGUAUCAACCAUCAGCUCUUUGUCAUUACUCUAGGACGACGUCGGUAGCAUAACUAAAAAUUAAGUACAUAUAAGGGUAGUUCUACGGAGCACUAUACAGCACAAAAAAUAAACUUGUAUAAUACAAUCAGCAUAUGGCACCAUGGAAUUGCUAAAAACGGGGGCGGCACGUGGGCGCCUGGCCCGGCACGGCUCGGGUCAGCGCUUACAGCACGGCAUGCAGUACUGUAGCACUCGUGCCGGGCUGCGCCGGCCCAAGCUCUGGGCCGUGCUGGAUCGCUCCUCCUAUGGCCUGACGACCAGACACAGCUCGACCCAAAUGGCCUGAGCCGUGCGCGCGAUGAGAGGCGGGCGGCCUGGCACGAACGACCCGCUUGGGCCGUGCCAGCCGGUGUGAGACCGCACGGCUCGCUUUGGGCCGUGCCAGCCGAGGCUAGCACGGCGCCGGACCCUAAGGGCUAAUGGCCUUAGGGUCUUGCCCUCUUGCUCUCACAAGGUUAGACAUUGGGAGUAGAGGCGCCAUGGCGCCUCUCGCAUUGCGCCCUCACUAGCGGCAUUUGGCGCCGGCCUGCGGAGACCUAUGAUGCCGCCUCUUAUGGCCCCGCCGCCGCACCCGUGGCCUGUCCCCAAUCCAAAGGCCCCACCUCGUGCGGCGUCCCCUCUCCCCAUCCCGACUCCUUCCCCCCGCUCCACCGCCCCCGCCCCCCCCCCUCCCUCCUCGGCGCCCCCUACCUUCUCCUCGGCUCCCUCCUCCGAGAUCCUCUCCUCCCCGAAAACCUCACCUCCCCAAGAAACCCCAGCACCCCCAAAUACGUUGAUUUUUUUUCAAAAAAUAAUAAUACAAAUUUAUUUAAUUUUUUAAAAAAUUAAAUAUUUACUAUAUUAUAAUUAAUUUUAUAAAAUUUUAAUAAUUUAAUCAAAUUUAAACUAAGUUUUUUUAAAAAAUUUUUAAAAAUAAAUAUUAUAAAAGGCCGGCCAGAAGCACGACCUGGCCCGGCACUGUCUGUGCCUUCUGGGCCAAAGGUUGGGCCAAAGGCUAGGCAGCGUAGUUGUAGUAGCCCUGGAAUUCAGCAUUUGAGGCUUGUCGACAGCUCUGAAGAGUGUCGGGACAAGUCCGAGUUCUGUUGGUGCGAAAUAGACGCAAACUGGACUCAGCGGGACGCGAGAGUAGAGAGUUAGCAUUGCAAUCUGCAAAUUGCAGAUUUUCAGCAAUUAGUACCGGUACCACACAGGGGCGUAUCGGUACCCAGUGCAUUUUCUGCGCAGACUGCUCUCGGGUUAGCCAUUCUGUUGCGUGGUACCGGUAUGACAUUGCGAUGGUACCGGUACACCAGGGUAGGUAAGGGGCCUUUUGGUCUUUUCUUGCCUCGUUUGUAUCACCUUAUCCCUAUUACUCUAUAUAGGUUAGAGAGAAGUUGAGGAGGAGGCUUUGCUGUGCUCUCUCUCUCUCUUCCUCUUGUGCUCGGCCGUAUGCAAGGAGGGGCUCGGGUGGAGUUGGAUCGUCGCCGACGUCGCGCUGCGGUGCCGUUCGAGCGUGCGUUCGUCGUGGUAGCGCCGUAGGGAGGCCGGGCGAGCGCGUGGUUCCGCUUCUAUCGAUUUCUCGCCGUGGUUGCACGCGCUUUCGAGGUGGGUUAAAGUGAUGCUUACCGAAUUCUACGGGUUUCCUCCUAAUUCUAUAUGUGUCAUCAGCAUGUGUUUUUAGCUUUGUUUAGUAUAUUGUUUAGCUCGAUUCUUGGAAUUUCAUGCCUAUGAAUUUGAAUUGGAGCUUAGAAAAUUAGCUAAAUCAUGCAUGUUGGACUUGGAUUUAAUUUAGGAGAAAACUGACGUUUCUACACCGCCAUUUGAACAAACUACCAGAUUUAGCUCUAGGAGCCGUAGUUUGAUUGUAUCGCCGAGGGUUAUAGGCGGUGGAUGCCCAGAAUAGUGUAGAAUAAUUUUAAGCUCGUACUGGGAUACCGAGCUUAUUUUUACAAUAUUGUUCAGACUGUUCCAGAUUGUCGGGUGCCGUUGGGGUUGACGGUGGACCCAUAUUACGGUUUUGCAUCAGAUUGUGCCGAGGGCACGUGUGUUUUGGUUGUUAGACCAGUUAGACUCUAUUUACUUGACUAUAAUCUGCGAGAGCCUGAUUGAGCUCGACAGAGACACGAUUGCAUACUCGGUUGGGUAGCGCCCACGAGUGCCACUCCGAUGACGGCCUGGUUUGGUGUAAGAUAGUGUAGCUUCGACAGGCGGGACGGGUGUGUUCACAGUCUCUAGUGAGAUUGGGUCAGGUUGUACUUUUCUACAGAUAGUGGGUGUUUGAUCCAGAUAGUAUAGGUGCAUACAGCUGUAGAUUUAUUCCAGCCUUCUUAGUAUACUUGUUUACAUCUGUAGAAUUAGUGGGUGAGCCGUUGAGGUCGGUAGCGGUACCCACUGAGGACUACUUCUUUUGUAGUAGUUCUCACGCCCAGUUGUUGGAAUCUUUUACAGAGCCUUCUUUUUCGGCUGCUGCUGCUGAUUCGGACCAUGAAAAGGGAGUCGCGAGUUAGAUCCCUUCCCAGUUGCUGCUGAGCUAGAGUAUACCAGCUAUAGGUAAUGGUAGUUUUUGAGUUCAUAUAUAUACUUUUGUUGUAUCUAGCUGGAGUGAGUGUUUUGUUCAUCGGGUUGUGAUGUAUGUAUAGUGAACUUCUGUUUAUAUAUCUCAUUUCUUUUAGUAGCUUUAUACUAUUUGUUGUAGUAUUGUAUGAUUAUAGGUACAGCUAUCGCUUCGUGUACAGUAGAAAUUUCUUGGCAUACGGCGGAUUUGUCGGCGUGCCCGGAGAAACAAGUAAUCCGGAGCGUGACAGCAGCUUGGGCCCGACACGGUACGGCCCGAAAUUGAAACCUGGCCGAGCCGGCCACUAGCUCAUUUCAGCCCGAAAAAUGUGGGCUGUGCCGGCCCGGCACGGCCCACAUUACAGCCCCUAGGCACCCAUAAUUAAGAAUAUUACCAACAUUAUUUAAACUAGAAUCAGCCAAAAAGUUAGUAUAAUUCUUAUAAUACCUUAUCAAGAUUGUCAAAUUAGACUUUACCAAUCCAGUUUUGAUUUUUAGUAAAAUAAAGAAACAAAAGUGAUAAGACUGUGACACCCCAAUAACUACAUAUCAGAUGAGAACGAGAUUAUAAUUGAAUAUGUACGAAACUAUGGACUCUAAUAAUAAUAAGUAGGUUUAAAUUGGUGGUUUGAACGAAACGACUUAUUAUUGUUAGUGGAUCCGGUUCUACCAAAGAGAACAUGAAUUUUCGAUUAAAGAUACUGUAAAAUUAUAACAUAUUUUCAGUACUAGACUUAGNUAAAUACUGUGGAAUUGUAUGAUAUGUAUCCAAACAGCAUAAAAAUUCCGUGAAGUUUUUUAACUAUCCAUCCAAACAGGGCCUUAGUAAUACUGAAAAAAAAAAAAAAAAGAAAAAUCAACAGUAUUAUUUUACUAUUCUAUCAACAUUCUCUCCCUGUGAAUGCCACUGCCCAUUUUACCCUCCUAAAGAUCCAUUUAUACCCUCUCCAGACACCAUCUAACACCUCUCUCUCUCUCCAACACCAUGUAUGGAGCACAACCGGGCUACUACGGCCCACCCAUCCCUCCCCAACCCCUCGCAACCCAACCCUCCUAUGCUGCUGAACGCCGCCGCCGGUGCUUCUGCAGCACAGGAACAGCCGUCGCCGCCUUCCUCGCCAUAUUCGGCAUCGCUGUCAUCGCCCUCUGGCUCGUCUUCCGCCCGCAGAAGAUCGUCGUUGCUGUCACAGACGCCGUGCUCUACCGCUUUGACCUCGCCACCACCACGAAACCUCCGAGCCUCGCCUUCAACCUUUCCGCCACCGUCAGCGUCCGCAACCCUAACAAGCGGGUCGGCAUCGUCUACGACUGGCUUGAGGCCGACUCCUAUUACUACGGCACGCGCUUGGGCUGGGUCUCCCUGCCCGCUUUGUACCAGGUGCCUGGUUAAAUAUAAAUAUUAAAAAUAUUAUUCUCUCAUAACUUAAACUUACAAAGACACUGAUUUUUUUAUAUAAUUUAGUAUAGCAUUAAAGCAUGAAGUAAUAGCUUCGAGUUCUACAAAAAUUUGAAAUUAUUAAAAUUUUUUAUUUAAUAUAAGUCUGUAAGUUAUGUCUACCCAUAAAUCUCGAAUCCAAAUAUAGAAAGUGUUGAAUAUAAAUAUUAAAAAUAUAUAUCACUCUCUCGUGUGUUUAAGCUUAUUAUAUAUAAUAAUUAUUUUCUAUAACAAAACUAUUUUUACGGUAGGGUUUUAAGUAUGAUAAAAGAUAUAAUUAGAACUAAUUAAAUUAUUAAAAUUCUUGUAGCUAGUCUCAUAAGGGCGUGGAAUAUUGAAUAAGAGAUUAAUUAAAACUGUUUGCGUCUUACUAUAUAUGUUAAAUAGGUUAAUAAAUGUUUAUAUAUAUCUUACUAUAUUUACCUUGUCAUUCUCACUUUUUAACAUUCAAUGAGUUAAAUGCUUAACUUUCUACUUGGUUUCAUAAGAUAGAUUUAUAUACUUUUUAUCCAACAAUUUUAUUUUAUCUUUUUAUUAUUGUGACGUUCUUAUUUUUAUUUUAUUUUUCUUUCUGAGCAAUGUUAGCUUUACAAAUCCAUAAUUAUAAUAAACGUUUUAUUUUCCACAACACCAGGGCCACCGGAGCACGUCGGCGUGGAGGCCUGCGGUAGCGGGGAGUUCGUACGUAGAUAUCGGGAGCUCAGGCAUAGCGGAUUUUAAGAACCAGAACACCACGGGGAGCUUCGGCGUCGGGUUGUGGCUCUUUGGUCGCGUUCGAUAUCGGUUCGGUUCGGCGACAACCAAGCAGUACGUCCUGCGGGUGCAGUGCGUGCUGAAGCUGCGGCUGCUGGCUCCCGGAGCAGCCAAUAACGGCUUCGUCAGGACACCCUGCAAGGUGCUCAAAUGGUGAUUGAAUUUUUAAUUCAUUUUGCACUAUAUACUGGCUUUUGAAUUCUUAUUUUUACAAAACAGUUAAAAUAUAUUUAUAACAUAUAAUUACUUUGAACCAACUAUACAAUUCCUAACUUGAGAAGAACUGUCCACGAUGCAUAUAUAAUUGUAAGAAGCUAGGCGUGCAAGAAAUUUUUUUUUUUUUUCCUCUAGCAAUAAAUACUGAAAAAAAAUUAAAAUGAAACAGUUUUCAAAAGUGGGCAUGUAACAUAUUCUACUUAAAAGUAUUAAUUAAGGACCAAUGUAAUUACACGUGGGUAAAAGUUUAGAAGCUGGUGGUGCAAUUUCUUUUUUUAUUUUUCUCCUCCCUUCAUAUGAGUUCGUUGACCUGCUCUGUGUCGUUGGUUGCAAUAUAUAGAUGUUUUCUCAACUUCUUUUAUUUUUAUCUCCCAAUUGUUUUAUUCUUAUUUUUUUCUAUAGUGUUUGCAAUUAUAAUAAUUGUAGUUAUAUUGCAUACAUAAUGAAAAAUAUUGUAACGUGGUGUGAACUGUCUAUGAUGGCUUCUUCGUGAAUAAGGAGUUGGAAACAUUCGAAGCGUUGACUUUGAGGGGAUAUAUAUAUUCUAUGUUAGUUGACUUUAGAUGAUGUAUUUGCGAUUUAAAUGCGUCGCCGAAAAUUAAUGUUAGCCGUCCCAAUCGAAACUCCAUCAGUUCGAGUUUGUGGCCACCAUGUCUUUGUAAGAGUUAAAUUUAAUUUAAAUUUAAAACUUACCACAAUAAAAAGAGAUUAGUGAACAAAAUAAGACUAGAACAUGAUAAGUAGUAUGCAUAUGUGCAGUACAAGAUAAACGAUCUACCGCAUCUCACCUUAUAGGCCACUCUGACGGAUUUUCAAUCUAGCUAAUCUGGUAUGUGAAAUCAAAAUCUUGGAACAUGUUCUAAGUAAUUAGAAAACUAUCUCCAAGAAUAUAUUAAUAUUUAAAUUAAUCGACUUAAACAACCGAUAAUGAUGUUACAUACUUUUUACUAAUAUAUUGAUAAUUUUGUUUCUUAAACAUACGAUCAUGUAAGUGAAACAAUGAAAAAAAAAGAAAAGAAGAGAAAGGCUGAUAGUGCAGGCAUCACUGACGUAGACCGUCAAACCUUAAAUAUGCUGAAAACUAUACCUCCCACCUUUAAAUAUCACAUGUCAUACGGAAAUAACUUAUCAUAAUAUACACUGUUAUACCAGCGUAUGUUAUUUGUUUUGACUAAUACUAUGUGGGUUGUGCAUCACUGAUGAUGCAUGUAUCUAGCUAUUGUGGUGUAAACCAAUCAUACGAGCCAAUGUGCUUGAGUGUUUUCUAGCAUAACAAUCUAAGUACAUGAUGUGUGCUAACCUCUCGGCAACUUACCUGUUACCUGGCCAGCCAUUCAGACUACGGAUCUUAAUAUUAGGUUUAGCUCUAUCUCAAUGGCAAUUUUAGGUCAAUUCAUAUCCUACUAAGUUUGGUGCACAUCAACUUGCAAGUAAAAAUGCAAACAAGGUGGAUCUGCAAGUAAGAGGGUCCUCCCUACCUCCCACCUUGUUUUUCUUUGGCAGGUUGUGGCAAAUUCGAGGCGAGUUGAAUUAGAUCAUUUUUUUUUCCUACUUAAUGCUAAGUUCGGGGCCCGUUGGGCUGGAAGCGUGUUUUUAACGAAUUUUUGGCGGAUUGCAAAAGAUCAAAGAAAGGAGGUCCCCAACCUCCCGUCUAUUUCUUAGCGGAGCAAGACGGAUUUGGGGCGGGCUUUUUUUUUCUAAAUUAUUUUUUGUUAUUUUUGCCUCCUACUUACCACUCCAUUCGUGGCCGGAUCUCCACCAACCGGGAUCCAUGUUCAUCCUUACUCGCAACUGUUGAGUUAAAUACCUACUCCACAUAUUAUGAUAACUAUUAAGAUCGCCAAUAAAUACUAAUUAAAUUGAUUCUCCUAAUCCAUAUGAUUAUGUACAGCUCAUGUAUAUCAAUGCCUUGAGUCCUCUGGUCAGCACACAACACCUUGGGCCCCUACUCUUAGGGGUGGAACUGGGUCAGGCUUGGGCCAGAUCAUACUCUGCCCAAGUCCGACCCGAAAAAAAUACCGGGCUUCGGGUCGGGCUUUACUCAAUUUUUUUUUAAAAAAUAAGGCCUUGCUCGGGCCUAAGCCGAAUACCCAAUACCCAUCGGGCCUAGAGGCCCACUUUAUGUAUUUGUUAUAUAGUACAAAUAUAUUUUUAUUAUAAAAAAAAUAAAAUAAAAUAUUCUCAGCUAUUAGGUAUUCGGCUCAAUGCUAUUGGUGCUAUUAGGUUUUCGGCCAUUGGAUAAAAAAAUGUACGGUUAAAAUGAUAUGCACCUUCUAGGGUUGAGUUGGUUAUGGGUUUAAUAAUAUAAUCUAACGAGCGAAAAUAGUCAAUGAGUUUAAUCUAACAGCGGAAAACUUAAUAGCACUAAACGCUUGGUGCUAUCGAUAGUAUCCCAGCCAGACACACACACACUCACUCUCUCUCUCUCUCUCUCUCUCUCUCUCUCUCUCUCUCUCUUAAUGCAUAGAUAUAUAUAACUAAAUAUUUUAUUUUAAUAACUAAUAUAUCGGACUUUUAGAUUGGGCUCGGGCUGGGCUUGGGCAUGUUCAGAUAGGUCCAAAAUUUUUUCAAACUUAAAUUUUUAAGCCCGGCUCAGACCCAAAGUUAUAAUUUUGAUACCGAAAGCAUGACCAUACAUGGCCCAUCGGGCCGGGCCUUUUUUAGAUCCGGGCGCAGUUCCACCCCUAUCUACGUGGUCCAUACAAAUUCCUCAGGUUUGGUCCGCAUAAUAAAUCAAUCAUGUAAGGAGAAUCGAAACCACUGUUUUGUACGACGGAAUACACAAACUCAUCGUGUCCAUGACUGAGACUCACUUUUGUUAGUUAGACCAUCCAACUAUCAAAUCAAUUCACGCAUGCCAAACCGUAUCUUGUAAAUGUCUAAAUUUUUCAGAUCAUGCAUGCCCGACAUAACCUGCUGCAGCUGUUCCAGACAAACCAACUCACAGAUGAUCAAUCCAUAUGUAAUGCCCAAUCAUGCAGAUCGAAUAAGCCAAUCAUUGGCUUGAUUGGUCCAGCUGAUUUUCCACAAAACCAAAUUAAGCACCUACUGCUGAUGGUCCAACAGGCUCAAUUCAACGAGUUUUGGAAGAACAGAAUCUGAGCCAUCAACACUCACCGUAUCAAAGGGAUUGUUCAUACUCUCAGAGAUAGCUGUUGCGCUAUCUAGCUACUACGCUAGCACUAAUUCACGGCAAUUUUUUUUUUUUUUUUUUUUUCCUAAGAGAAGGACAACGUACUAUUCGUUUUAUCACUACAAAAAAAAUGAUCUAUAGCAACACUUUUAAAUAUCAGUACAGGUCAAAAAAAUACUUUUAAAAGAUAUUGCUAUAUGUGGGAUCGUUAGAUAUAUAGUGACAGUUAAAGAGUAUCGCUAUAAUCUAAAAAGAGUGCUGUUAAUUUACUAAUACUUAUUUAAGCAUUUAGCAACCGCCGGAACUCUACCUCGUUGGCUGUCGUGGCGGAGGAGGACGAGAGGGAAGUGCUCUUCGUCUAGAAUUUCAAUAGAUUGAGUGAGAGGAGAAGGGGAGAUAGUAAUUGAUUUUUUUCUUUUUUUCUUUUUUGUUUGUAAUUGGGCUGAAUGGGCUGAGUGGGGUGGGUUGAGUAGAAUAAUCUUUUAUUUUUGAUUAGAUUGAACUUUAUAUUUAGGCAUUAAUAGAUUUUUUAAAAAGUUUUGACAUAAAUGGGAUACUUACACAAAAGUGUCCCAAACAUGUGUCCCUAUUAUCUAAUUCUGUUAUAGUGUAUUUAUUUAUUUCUUGAAACAAACUUAAUUGAAAAUAUAAGACAAUUGGCCUUCGAACUUAAAAUCUCACAUACCAAGUAUUAAUUCUUUGUCACCUGAACAUUUUCUUUCAAUGUGGGCCUCUGGCCUAGAAACAGAAAAAGGCCUCUGCUGAGGACUUGAUAAAAACUGCACUCCACCGUCAAGUUUACAAGCCUCUUUCGCCCAUUUAGAAUUUUGCCCAACACACCGCAAAAAAAAGAAAAAAAAAAAGAAGAUAUUUUAAAAUCAACAAUAUAUUUUCAUCAAAUUUUUUUUAGCCAAUUUUCCACUAGACGAGAACACAGUAGUUUCAAAUUAUAUAUAACCUAUUUCUUUGGAAUCCAGAAGUUCAUUUUCAUUUUCUCUCGAAGUUCAAGCUACAACUUAAUUUGACAAACUUGAUAGAGUUUCAACACUAGCUAGCCACCAUAUUCCUGAUUGGGUCGGAUUAUUACUCCCAAUCGACACAAUAGAAACUAGGAGGAAAUAGAUUUGUAAUAUAUACUAACAUUUACCCAUUUUUAAAACAGGAAGAGGUGAAAGAGAGCAUCUUACUCAUCUUCAAAAAUUUUCAUCAAAUUUGAAAGGACAAAAAAAGUUAGAAUAUAUAAAUGUAGUUGGCACAUCGACCGUUUCUAGUGCAAUUGGGCAAAGGGUGUGAUGGCCGGUACCCGAGAUCUCAUGUUCAAAUCCUAGUUGAUUUACAUUUCUAGUUAAGUUUAUUUUUAAAUAAAAUAAACGGAAUGUGUAGCAAAUAAAUGUAGUUGGCACAGGGUACAUUUAAUAAUGUUAAUUGAGAAUGUCUAAUUGGCUUACUUGCUUAAUAUUUUGCUUUGGGUUGGAUUAAUUAGUUUGGUUUGGUUUGGGUUCGAGUUAGAUUUGGACUCCGUUUUGGUUCAACUUUACAUCAACCUUAAUCGAAUCUAAUUUGGUUGAAAUUUGUCAAUCCUAAUGUAAGACAAGUUAUAAUUUGAUCGGGUUUGGAUCAGAAUUGUUGGCAUCGAAUGCAAUAUUCUAAUUAAGUUGAAUUUGUAGUCACCAAUAUUUUAAUAACCAAGUCAUUGAACGUUCCUAGAGCAAGCGGUAAAGGGCUUGAUAGUUGGUACCCGAGGUCCCAAGUUCAAAUCCUACUUAAUUCAUAUUUCCAGCUAAGUUUAUUUCUCAAAAAAAAUAUUUUAAAAACAGCAUAACGUUAUACAUAUUUAAUUAUUAUUUUUAAUUUUAUUAUUUAUAUAAUUAUACAUACAUAUAUUAUUAUUCUAGUAUCAUAUUUCUUUAUAAAAUAUCGAUUUCUAAAUCAAGUUUUCAAAUUUCACUUUCAACGGACUAUAACAUGUGCUAAUAGAUUGAAAUCAACUAGGUUGACUUUAAACCGUUGGAUUUUAAUAGGACUUGAUAAAAAAAAAAAAUCACCCAAAUUUACUUAAAAUUGAACCGACUCACUAGUUCGAUGGUUGAACCGCUGGUUCUAACAAUUCAAAAUAAUUUUUUGUCUAUUUAGUUCAAAAGUUUGAGUCAUAUCACUUUAUAGACUGAGUCAUGGUCGGACCGGUCAAACCGACCCGUUCGAUUCGAUUUUUAAAAAGAUGUAACGACCUGUCCCACUAGCAAUAACAACUCGUUGAGCUUAAACACCAGCUCAAAAUGUUUAAAUUUAGUUAUUAUUACUAGUGGAUGUGGGAUUAUUGGUAUAGUUGGUCAUCUUGUCAUUCAGACUCCGGUAUCGUUUAUCACUUUUUUUUUUCAGAUCUUGACUCAACCGAAACUCGCCAUACAUUUUCGGCUGGUGAACCGGCUAAACAACCCGGCCUGCUAGCAAUAAUAACAAGUUGGGUCCAAACACGGACCCAAAAUAGUUAAGUCCAGUUAUUAUUGUUAGUGUUUAAGUCUCUUAUAUAUCUAAUCACAUUUUUAUUCCUAUCCGACGUGGGAUUAUUGGAGUAUGACAAAAAAUUUACAAGUUGAUUUUGCAACAUGAUGCACAAGCUGAGCCUCUCUGUGAGGGAUGAUUAAAUUCGCAUAAAUGAAGAGUGUGACACGUACAAUAUUGGAUAUGCAAGGGGAUCACAUUUUAUCAAUACAUUUAAUAGCAAGAUUCGGUGCCAACAUUUGAGGGACAAAUGUUCAGUUGAUCUUUAAUUUGACAUAUGUACAAACAAUCUUCAAUUUGUAUCCCAUUUAACAGUAAACACCAUAGUUGUAAAUUUUAUAUACUACGGUUUCCUGAAUUUCUUAGCACUUAUUAUUUGUCCAUCCCUUCGGGUGGCAAUCCAGCUCGCUGUUCGCGAGCCAGCUCGUGUUCCUGCGAAAUGAGCUGCGACAUCGCUCGCCGUAUUAGUAACGAGCCAACACGAGCUGAAUUUUUCAAGCUUCGUUUAUACACUCGACCGAUACCUGAGCUGGGUCAGUCGCUCGUGUUCGCUCGUACAGCUUGGAUACAUAUAUUUUAUAUUAUAUAAUUUAUUUAUUUUAUUUUUAUACUUAAAUAAAUAAUUAUAUAUAAUAUAUAUUUGUAUUAAUUUAAUUUUAGUAAAAAUAAAAAUAUAAAUGCGGUUUAAUUAUUAAAAGACUCAUUUAUAUGUUAAAGUUUUAAACUAUUAGAUCAAAGUCUAAGUGAUAAAAUUUAUAAAUUUAUUUUUAUAUAUAAUUAUCUAAUUUUUUUUAAAUUAUUAUUCGUUCGGCGAAAAUUAGUCGUGUUCGGACUCGUUAAAAUAAGCCGAAACGAGCUGAAUUUUUCGGCUUGAUAUUUUAACGAGCCAGCUCGUGUUAAACGAGCCGAACACGAGCCGACGCCAGCUCACUUGUGUUCGGCUCGUUUACACCCCUAUCCAUCCCUCGCGCAUCGUGUACUCUAAACAAUAUUUCUGUACGUACUGGAUUCAAUAGAAUAUUAAUUUACGUGAAUAGUACUUGUAUCAUUCAAACUAGAGAAGAUACCGCGUGUGGGGGGUCGAUUCGGUAAAAUCUAAUAACAUUAAAAUAAUAAAAAAAUAGUAGCUGUUAUAGUAAAAAUACAAUAAUAAAAAUAUAAGAAGAAUAAACAAGAUGUGAAACAACCGUUGUACUUGAGCUUAUAUAUAGCUAUAUAUAUAUAGUUAUAAAUAUAACAAUAAAGCUAUAUAUAUAUAGAGUCCGGCUACCAUACUAUUAUGAGUACGAUCGCCCUCGUACUCAUAAGUUGUUUUCGAUGAUAGAGUUUCCGAAUCGACGAUCCACACCGUUAAACGUUAUCUGGAGUAUUUGAAACAUUUAGAAAUCAAAUUUCAUAAUUUUUCGACAUCAUUUACCUUAUGAUCAGAAGCUCACAAAAUUGACAAUUUUUAACGGCUGGUAUGGAAUAUUUGCUAGUUUAACGGUGCAAAAGAAUCCGAAUAGGUUGAAUUUUUGAUAGAAAAUUCUAUUCACUACCUAGAUAAAGAUUAAUAACUCUGAUCUUAAAUUGAAGGAUCCGAUCAUCCAUUUUUAAAACAUCGUUCGAUUUUGACCGUUCAUUUUAUGCUCGCUUGAUGGACUUUAUUAUGAUUUCGAAAAAUUACAAAAUUUAUUUUCUAGAAGUUUCAAAUACUCUAGAUCGUAUUUAACAGAGUGGAUCAUCGAUUCGGAAGCUCUAUCAUCGAAAACAACUUAUAAGUACGAAGGGUCAAAUACUCAUAAUAGUAUAGUAACCCUACUAUAUAUAUAUAUAUAGAGUCCGUCUCCCGUACUUUCGAAAGUACGGGAGGCUCCGUGCUUGUAAGUUGUUUUCGAUGAUAGGACGUUUGAUUCGACGAUCGGCUCCGUUAGGUAUGAUCUACCCUAUUGGAACUAUCUAGAAACCAAAUUUUAGAUUUUUUUGACAUCAUUUACUAAGCGAUCAAAAGGUCUAAAAAAUGGCUAUUUUAACGGUCGAUGUGGCACAUUUUUAAGUUCAACGGUGUAGAAGUAUCCAAAUUACAUAAAAAUUUAAUAGAAAAUUCUACUUAACAUCAGUAGCAAGAUCAAUACUUCCGAUUUAAAAUUUGAAUCAUUUAUNNNNNNNNNNNNNNNNNNNNNNNNNGAAUCGACGAUCGGCUCCGUUAGAGUUGAUCUAGUGUAUUUGAAAUACCUAAAAAAUAAAUUUUGCGAUUUUUUGAUAUCAUUUGCCUAGUGAUCGAAGGGGCUCAAAAUCAAUAAUUUUAAUGGCCGUGGUGAGCCGGUUGCAAGUUUAACGGUGUAGAAAUAUCCAAAUCGUAUGAAAUUUUGAUAGAAAAUUCUUUAUACCACAUAAAACAAGAUCAAUAACUUUGAUCUAAAAUUUUAAUGUCAUAUCAUCAUAUUUUGUAAGAUUUUUAUUUUCAGCCGUUGAUUUUGAGCCACUUCGAUCACUAGACAAAUGAUAUCGAAAAAUGCAAAAUUUACUUUCUAGAUACUUCAAAUACUCUAUAUCAAGUCUAACGGAGCUGAUCAUCGAUUCAAAAGUCCGAACAUCGAAAACAAAGUGGAAGCACGGAAGCAUACCAACACAACUCUAUAUAUUGAGUGCGGCUAGGAUGCUUAUAGUAUAUAUAUAUAUAUAUAUAUAUAUAUAUAUAUAUAUAUGUGUGUGUGUGUGUGUGUGAUAGCUUGGUCAAAAUAACACACUGAUAUAUAAGAGUAUAGAUAUAAUAAUUAAAGGCAUAAUAUUACAAUCAGAAAAUAAAUUCCAUCUAUCCUUAUUUGACCACAAAGAUAAAAUAAAUAAAUUUAGGAUAAAUUAAUAUUGUCUAGGAGAUUAAAUACUUACGUGAACAGAUUUUUUAUGUUCACAAUACUUUUGUAAGUAUAAUGAUCUUUGAUGGAUCGAAUUGAGAUGAAUAAAGAAGAUUAAAUGGGUAAAGAGCAUGUGGUUAAAAUGGAACACCUACUAAAACUAAUUUGCCAAAAAAAACAUGAUUAUAAAUUAAUAAAGCUUUGAGUUCGCAAUGGAACACCUACUAAAGCUAAUUUGCAAAAAAAAAACAUGAUUAUAAAUUAAUAAAGCUUUGAGUUCGGCAAAGGAAUGAAAAUAAACAUAGAUAUGAUGAUUUUUUUUUUUUCUCGGGAUUAAGAUAGGUAGCAUGCUAUCCUUUUCGUUCAUUUCAUUUAGAAAUAAAAUUAGCGAGAAAUAAAAUAGUUCGAAUCAAGUAGGAUUUGAACUUGAAUCCUUGAGUACCAAACACUAAGCCCUUUACCACUUGAAUUUGAGACGGUCAGUUAAAUAUGAUGAUUAUUCUAUUCAAAUUAGAACGACUCAGCCUUCUCCUGAAUAAUUGUUCCACUCAACGAAAUUGUUGAAGACCGGAUUCAUAAAAAAAAAGAAAGUACAGUUAACAGGUGAGAAAAAGGUAGAUGCAAAUAAUGGCGCUGAAUAUUCUCGUGCACGUAGCGGUUAGAAUCAAUUUAUGUACAUAGACGAGCACAGUUGACAUAUACCGCCUUUGUUACCUUAUUAAUCCAAUCUCUGAAGGAUUAUUGAUGACCAUACAUGGUCAGAACACUGCUGCUACACGGUCAGAACACUGCCACAGGUUCAUCAUACCAAACGUAAGCACGUGUCAUGUGAUCGAAGAAGGCUACUCUAACUUAAUUAGGAGGCCCAUGAAUUAAGAUGAGGUUCAUACCAAACGUUAAGACCCUACAUGUACGGAGGUAGAGUCGGGCCUAGGCAUGGCACCGGUACUAUAGAACCCGGGUAGGCCAGCCUGACCCGGCAUCAUGAGCCAUGCUGAACCACUUCAACUGAGCGCGUUGCUCCGACACGGCACGGCCUGUUACAGUCUUGGGCCAUGCCUUUCAUGCCAGUACGGCCCGGCUUUAGGACUUGGGGAACCAAGGCGCGCCCUACGGCCCUUGGAGAGUUGGGGAGCCAUCUCCUCCAACUCUCCAAGUUGGAUCUUGGGACUUGGGGCUCCCAAGGGUGAGAAAGAGAAGGGCUUAGGGCCCUAGGCCCUUUUUGGUAGAUAGGUCCAUCUCACAAACGUUUCCGAAUCUUUUCUAAAAAUUUUAAAACUUUGUAAAAUUUUAAAAUUAUUUUAAAAAUCUAUUACUUUAGAAAUUUUUUAAUAAAUUUGAUUUCUUUGGCUAACAUAAUAGGAAGAGAAAAUUAUUUUAAUUUUUUAUUUUUUAAAUAUUUUAUAUUUUUUAAAAUUUUAAAAAUUAAAGGGCCUACACAGAGACCAGCCCGGCCCAUUACGGUUCGUGCCAUUUGGGCCGAAAGGCCGUGCAGGCAGGGCGGUUAUAAAAUCUGGUCGGUCCUGUACGGUCCGGCCCAAAAUUUUAACAGGGCUUGGCUAGGCCGAACCCUGGCCCAGUUCGGCCUAGGUGUCCCUACCUACGUGCACAUGUUAUGAGGUCAUGUGACCUUAAUUAGGAUUCAAAAUUGUAGAAGAUAUUUUAUAUUAUUCAAAGCCAAAAUUAAUUUAUCAUCUACGACCCUUAUGCCAAUUGAAAGAUCUAUAUCACCAACAAUAAUAAAUACAUAUUAAUAUCCAUAAUCGUAAAUAGAGUCGGAAAUAACGUUUAGAGUGUUAUAGGAAAAAACUUUUGAUCAAUAUGCAGACACGAAAAAUUCGACUUAGGGGUUGAAUAUCACUAACCAUAUGUCUUUUAUAUAAAGUUCAAAUUGACUUCGUACCAAAAUCUGAUUAGUAUUCUAUUUAAUUUAAAAGAUAGAUAGAAAAUAAAUAAAAUAUACCAUAUCAAGCAGUUUUAUAUAUGUUAGAAUUGAUCUUUAUUUAUAAUAAAUCAAAAACUAAAUAUGAUUAAUUAUGUCAGAUUUAUGAAAUUUUAAUAUUUGAGAAUAAAUUAUACCAUUAAAAAAAAAUUAUACUGUUUGAGACUAAAUUAUACUAUUUGAUACUUAAAUUGACUAUUUAAUAAGUUGCAACUUAGUCUUAAAUAAUUUAAGGUGGUGCAACUUAAGUCUCAAACAAUACAACUUCAUCCCAAAGUAGUGCAACGUACAUCCAUUUUACAUGGUGAAAUUUAAUCUUAAAUAGAUUUAAACGGUGUAGCUUAACCUCGAACAAUGCAACUGUUGGAAAAACUUUCUGAUCUUUUAUUAUAAUAUUCUUUAAAACCAAUUCAAAAUUUAAUUACAGGUUUAGAAAAAUUCCGAAACGAAAUUAAAUAACAAAUACGGUAAAGAAAAUGUUUAGAUAAGGCCUGUGGAUUGAGGUAUGCAGAGCACUGUCCUAGAAGCGAAAUUGCCCCUCCACAUGCAAGGCUUCCCGGCAAUUACUCCUAGCGAUACAACGACCACGUUCCACCUCGUUGGCACGCUUCCAAGGUGGCGUAAGACGAACCCAACUAGCUUCAGAUCCAGCAAAAGAAAACUCGGCGAAAAAUCAGAAAGUAGAAAAAGGCGAGAGGCUUUAGGUAUGCUCGGGUUAUUAAUUAACUCGUGUAGCCUCGCCCUAUAUUUAUAACCUAGGCGAGAAUCUUGCUUCAAUACGUCAAAUCCGUGUAUAACAAAAUAAGCCUAAGAUUACACGGAUAAAGAUAAGGAUUAGGAUUAGUAAAAAGAUAAGUAUUAAAAUAAAGAUAAAACCGACAAAAUAAAAUAAACCGGGUAAAUGGAUCGCGCGCGCCGGCUGCGGCCCGGUCCGGCUCGGCUCAUGCCGUGCAUGUAUUUAAACGAGAGCAUUGCUCUCAUUUUCUUCCAAAUAGCUAGGUUGAGAAUAAAGCAAUAUAUAAAAACAACAAACACCCUUUCGGUUUACAAUGUGGGACUAAACAUCACAUAUGGAUAUUUUAGUUGGGCUCCCCAAGCAGCUCAUUAACAAUUACUGGGCUCUCAAGAGGUUUUAAUAAGUUUUCAAUCAUAACAAAUCCAAUAAAAUCCAAUAGCAAUUAUGUCUUAAACGAUGCAACUUUUUUUUCUUUUUUCUUCUCUAUUUCUUAGCCUUUUCUACCGUGACCACAAUAUAUAAGCCCUCCAAGAAGAAGAAAAAUAUAUUUUUCCAUUAUUUUUUCUUUUAUUUCUUUUUUCUUCCUUUUCUUUUCUUCAUUUUUUUUCUUCAUUUUCCUCACUUUCUGCAUUCUUUUUUGUUAUCAUGUCUUCUCCCUCGCUGUCUGCCGCAGUAGCCACCCCUGCCUUUUACGCACUUUUCCUCUCCGCCCUCCUCAAAGCAUGCAUGUGCCACCCUCGUUGCCGUCACCAUCCAUGAUCACGCCGUCCACCACAAUCUCACCUCUCUGAUUGUGUCAUAUCCAAGCCCCCGCCUUAAUCUGGUGAAAAUUUAUUAGCAGUCAUAGUUUUUGGUUUUGUUGAUAUCGCCGCCUGAGUCGAUGGAGGUAUGGGCAAGAUAGGCGAGAGGAGUAUGGUCUUGACGUGAAGACAAUAGAGAAGGAGAGAAAAGAGGCGAGAGGAGAAAGAAAGGAAAGGAGAAGAUGAGGAGGAAGACGAAGAGAGAGGAGAAAAACGAAAAGAGAGAAACGAGAGAAAACGAGGAAUAAGAGUAUUUUGAUUAGUUUAUUAAAAAUUCAGAUCGUAUAUGCAAAAUUCAAAAAAAAAAGAUGUAUUUUUACAAAAAUGCAAAACGGGUAAAAUUUUUAUGCAUAUUGGCCAAAUAAUUUUAUGGAUAACUUCUUAGUAUCCCAUAAUUUCAUUAAUAUCUUUUCGGAGUUAAUAAUAUGAUAUAUGCUCUUGAAGAUAUAAAAAAUAAUCAUGACUGUCCUUACAAUUUAAAGCACAUUCAAAAUUAAGUUAAUAUUUUUAAAUACCAUUUUUCCCUCAUAUCUCUCGUCAAUACUAGUAGUUUAAUUUGAUUUCGAUGAUAGAUUUUGUUUUCUUAUUUAGCUGAAAAAAAUGACAUAAAUGACAUAAAUGACAUCACUAUAAGUGUCCUUUUUGUUAGUUGGCAAAAAAGAUUAAGCUUUGUCAAAAAAAAAAAUUGUCAAUCCAAACCAAUAAAAUUUGAGGGCGGGUUUUCGCAAUAUAGUUGAGGUGUCUCCAUAAAUUUUUACUUUAGGAUUAGUGAGAACAAGCUUCUCAUUUUUAAAAGUUAAACAAAAUCUAACAAUUUAUUAAGUUAGUAACCAAUGGUAAGGUUAUUUAUGAUAAUUUAGUACGAUUGGAGGGUUUCCGUGAAAUUUUAAAUUUUAUAGGAGCAGGCCACCAACUAGCCAAGACAAAGAAUUGUUAUAAACGUAACACGGUUUAUAUAUACACUAUCAGCUCCCUCCCUCCUUUAGGCUAAAGUACAAAAAAAAGUUUAUAUAAAUAUCUGCUUUUGUAUUUUAUUUUUCUAUCUUUCAAAAAUAUUUUAUUUGUUUUUUAAAAAAUUGAAAUUAUUGUACAUAAACAGGUAUCGUUACUAUUUUGCUACUAUUUUGUAUAUAAAGUAUGUACCACCGACGGUCGAGUAACUUAUUAAGAUAUCAAUUAAUGCAUAAGAAUUUAUUUUUCGGUCAAAUUAAUUUUAAAAAUAAAAUGGAUAUUUUAGCAGUUAUUUAGUUGUAACAGUAUAAUGUAUUUAUAGAAUGGUGACGAAAUAGUAAUAGCACGAGUUAAUUAGUGCUACAAUUUUAAAUUUUGAGUUAAUAAAAUAAAAUUUUAAAAAAUAUAUGGUAGAGUAGAAAAAUAAAUAUUUAUAAGUAUUUAUGAAGUUCAGCAGCCAGACUAUGAUUUCGUUUGGGAUUGCGGGGAGAUUACGUUACAUGCGGUAAGAAACGACGAUGAAAAAAUAUCCUAGCUUGUUUGUUUUCGUACGUAAUAUUGCGUUCCGUAUAUUGUAAUUAGUCGGUUACGAUAUAUUUUCUGCGGUCCUAUUGGAGAACGUAGAAACAAAUCCGCAUAUACUUUUUCUCAACUCCAUUCUAUUUAAUAGCUUUAGAUCCACCUCAUUACCAAACUAAGCCUAUAUUUAGAAGUACGAAAGGUUUACUAUUAUUAACUUUCUAGUCAAUAAAUUCUUUUGGCUCUUAAAUCAUGCACAAUAGAAAGAAAAAAUAUGCGACAAAAAAAUUUACGAGCACCGAAACUUUUAAAAACAAUCCAGUUAAACUCGAAUUUAUGCAUCAUAUAUAUAAAAAUAAAAACAAGGAAAAAGAAAUGAAGGAGAAAUGCCACGAAGGCCAUUUAGGCGCGUUGUCUUGACCACGCCCCACACCUGUCCGAGUGUCAAUUCCCACCAUUUCGAAAUACUAGACGUAGUAACCAAUCCAAACGCGUUAACAUCCAUGUAUACUACCAAAUUAAAACCAAAGCCGCAGCUAUUCACGACUCUUCAAUACUUUAAUUUCCCCUUCGGAAACUUCUCCUCCCAUUCUCCAUAUAUAGAUCCCCGCGUAACUCUCUCUCUCUCUCUCUCUAUAAAUAUAUAAAUAGAUCCCACUUGAUCCUCAUAUCCUAUCCUCUCCAAACCCAUUAAUCAACAUCUCUCUCUAAUUAGUUAUCUCCUCUUUAGUUCGCACAGAUUCUCUCUCUCUCUCUCUCUCUCUCUCUCUCUCUCUCUCUCAAUUAUGGCUGACGCGAAGCAAGCCAACCUAAGCGGCGCCUACUACGGCCCGCCGAUCCCCCCGCAGAACACGUACCGCAGCGUCGGCCGCAGCUCCGGCUGCAACCCCUGCGCCUGCCUCUUCUGCACCCUCUUCAAGCUCAUCUUCUCCAUCGUCGUCAUCCUCGGCAUCAUCGUCCUCGUCGUCUGGCUCGUCAUCCGCCCCUACGGCCUCAAAGCCCACGCCGAGUCCGCCGCCCUCACGCAGUUCGCCCUCUCCUCCUCCAACACCCUCGACUUCAACCUCACCGUCGACAUCGCCGUCCGCAACCGCAACAAGAGGAUCGGCAUCUACUACGACUACAUCGAAAGCCAAGCGUUCUACGACGGCGACCGCUUCGGCUUCGAGCUGCUGCCGCCCUUCUACCAGGGCCACAAGACGACCAGCGAAAUUAAGCCCGUGUUCCAGGGGACGCAGCUGAUGCUCGGGAACUCGGUUUCGACGACCUACAACACAGAAAAAGGUAAAGGGUUUUACAACGUCGACGUGAAGGUGUACACUAAGCUCAGGCUCAAGAUAUGGAUCUUUAAGAUUCACCAUGUUAAUCCCACGAUUAAGUGCACUUUGAGCUUACCUGUUCCCAGCAACACGAGCUCAACGUCCACGGUGAAUUUGGGGACCGAUUGUGACGUGGACUACUAAUUAAUACGUAAACAUAUAUAUUAGCUAUAUAUAUUUCUAUUUGUUGAUUCUUUUUGUUUUUUCGCUUAUUUUAUGAGAGAGUAUUUAUUUAUAUAUAUGUUGGUUGUAUGGAGAUAUUUGUACACUUUUUUGUAUAUUUACAGCACGAGAUGAGUGAAUAAAUUGAUGUUUUAUUAAGUGGGUUGGUCAUGUUAUAUUAAUUAUGUGGAUGGUGAUCGAAUGAUGGUGAUGGACUAUUGACUUAUUCAGUAGUUUGACAAAUUUAAACACGACUUAUCGAGAUUACUUCGCUAAUAAGGCGUGUGGCAAAGUCACAGUUUACUCAGUAAGAACACCGACACGUGUCGAUCAUACAAGUAUAAAUGGAGGUUUGGACAGCAAAAUUAACUAUUGCAUUCUCCUAGGUUAGGUGAAUUUGAUUUAUAAUUUAUUUAUGUCAAUAAAUCAAACGCAAUUAAUUUUUUUUCGCACUGAAAGUACCAACAUGGCCACGGCACUACGACUAUAAAAUUCUAAAAAUCUUGUAGGAAUACUGGAUGUUUUAUUUAGAUUUUUUUUGUUAAAAAAAUUUACAAGUUUUGUAAUUUUGUAAAGCUGAUUUGUAUUAUUUUGGUUUCUCCGAUUUAGCCCCAUAUUAUUAUAUUCUUUUCAGAACACUCUUAUUUAUGUAUAAAAUACGUAUAGAAAUGAUCACCUGCAUGUUGGUUGCACUCGAUGAGGCAUACAACUCACUAUUUUGCCCGGAUGUUGGAAAUAGAAGUCGUUAUUCGCUCUUGUCGUUGUUUGUUCCGCGAAAAAUUCAAAAAUUGGCCGUCCAAGAUGGACCCCGGAUAUGUCUCCUAGUUUUAAUGGGAUAUUAUCGACGGUUUGUUAGGGGAUUCUCCAAGAUCGCUUCCACUUUAACCCGUUUGACUCGGAAGGAGAAAAGUUCCAAUGGAUGCCUAAGUGCUAGCAGAGAUUUGAGGAGCUCAAAAAUAGUCUAACAUGCACCAAUGCUUGCAUUGCCGAGCCAAGAGGAGGAUUUCGUGAUAUAUUGCGAUGCUUCUCAGGUCGGUUUGGGCUGCGUGCUUAUGCAGAAGGACUGAGUUAUCACUUAUGUGUUGCGGUAGCUCAAAAGUUAUGAAAAAAAUUAUUCUACACACGAUCUUGAGUUGACGGCCAUGCCCUGAAGCUUUGAAGGCAUUACCUAUAUUGGGCGCGCACUACAACAAAAAUUGUCUAUAGCGACACUUUUAAAUGUAGGUACAUGUCAAAAAAGUGCUGCUAGCUAAAAUUACCGACACUUUUAAAAAGUGUUGCUAUAUAUGGGUUCGCUAGGUAUAUAGUGACAGUUAAAGAGUGUCGCUAUAACCUAAAAGAGUGCUGCUAAUUUACCAACACUUAUUUAAGCAUUUAGCAACCGCCGAAACUCUAUCUCGUUGGCUGCGGUGGCAGAGGAGGACGACAGGAAAGGCUCUUCGUCUAGAAUUUCAGUGGAUUGAUUGAAGAGAGAAGAAAAGAUGGUAAUUGAUUUUUUUUUUUCUUUUAUGUUUGUAAUUGGGCCAAAUGGACUGGGUGUGGUGGGUUGAGUAGAGUAAUCUUUUAUUUUUGAUUGGAUUGAGCUUUAUAUUUAGGUAUUAGUAGAUAUUUUUUUAAGUUUUAGGAUAAAUGGGACACUUACUCAAAAGUGUCCCAAACAUGUGUCCCUAUAACCUAAUUCUGUUGUAGUGGAUUGCCAGGUGUAUACCGACCACUAAAGCCUCAAAUAUCUAUUCAUACAGAAGGAAUUAAAUCCGAGGCAAAAACGGUGACUCCUAAAGAACUACGACUUCUCUAUCCAAUACCAUCCAGGAAAGGCAAAUAUAGUGGCUAAUGCUUUGAGCAGGAAGAACACUCAUGCAGAGUUGUUGAUGCUGAUCACCAAGCAGGACCGCUUGGUGGAGGAAUUUCGACGGCUAGAGUUAGAGGUGGUACCCUCGAGCAUAGUUGCUCUGUUUUUCAUCUUAUGUUAUAACUCACCUUGGCGAACAGGAUUAAGGAAGGGCCAAGGACAGAUUAGCAUAACUUGGACCUAUAAGCACCACUACAGGAAAAGGCGCUUGUAGAGGCAGUCAUAAAGAGGUAGUUGUGCGACCCGUCUCUAAAUUAUAUGUUAGAGACACAUUAGAGGCAAUUUUGAAAAACCGCAUCUACAUCCGAAAAAAAAAAUGUAAACUUUUGUCUUUCUCCCCAACUCCCUUCAUAAAAAAAAAUCCUAGCUAUUUACCCCCAAAAGCAAAUCUCCCCUUCCCCCAACCUUCUCGUCCCAAAAAACCCAUCCAUAGAUAGAUCCCUUCAACGGCUGUUCCUCUCGCCGGCUGCCCCGGCGGCGACGACUGCUAUUUCCCUGCCGACUGCCACGCUCAUCCCGCUCCUAAGCCGUGUUUGCUGAGGUGACAUUCCCCCAACCCAAAAAACUCUCUCGCGUCUACUCCGGCGCCCCCUCCGACCACUCAGGUACGCCUCCCUAACCUUUUCCCCGUGCUUAGGCUUGCGCCUCCCACCCCCCAGUGCUCAGGCCCCUGCCAUAACCCCCGACUCAAGAGUUCAGGCCCGCCCGGCGCCGCGCCUCUCUCCCCCUGCGUUUAGGCCCUCCCCUCCCCCUCCCCUUCCCCAUUUCCGGCAUCGGGCCGGCCAACCCACCUCCUAGCAGCGGACCAACUCCGCACGCAUCCCCCCGGUAGCGGCGGGCCAACUUCGUGCACGUCUUCCCUGUCACGCCCCGGAUUACCACGUUUCUCCCAACAGAACUGCCGUAUACAUAGGUAUUUUCCGUGUAUACAAAGUGAUAGCUGUACCUGUAAGCAAGUUAUAGCCACAACCACGAGUAUAGAGCUACUAAAACUAAAACAUGUAUAUAUAAAACUGAAGGUUCAUAGUACAUACAAAAACUCCGAACCAAUACUAACAUUUCGCUCCAGCGAGUAAACCGGACAUAGAGUAUGUACAUGAACAAAACCCACUACCUCUGACGGGUACUCCGCUAGUACAGCAACCAAGGGUAGGAAGAAUCUAGCUGGUGACUCCUUUUCUGCGGUCGGAAUCAACAACAGCAGCAGCCGCAGCCGCAGACGAAGGCUCUGCAAAAAAGGGUCAACAACUGGGUGUGAGAACUACUACAAAAUAGAGUAGUUCCCAGUAGGUACCGCCACCGACCUCAACGGCUCACCCAAUAAGUCUACAGAAAAUGUGUGCAAAAGAUAGUAAGGAAAACUGAAAAGAACUCUACAACUACAUGCCCCUAUACUAUCGCUAACUAACACGGACUAUCUGUAGAUAUGAAAUGCAUCCACUGACCCACUCUCACUAGCUAGGGACUGCGAUACGCCCGUCUCGCCUAUCGAAGCUACACUGCACACCACCCACAGGGGUGGCCUGUCCAAGAACACUGUCCAAACAGGACUGGUGCGACGACAAUGCACGUAAAGCCUCACUUUGACCCAAUCUCACUAGGGACUGCGAUACGCCCGUCCCGGUUGUCGAAGCUGCCCCGUCCACCACUCCGAGGGCUGCCGGUGGCGAGAUCUCACUUGGGACUGUGCUACACCCGUCCCGUCUGCCUAAGCUACACCGUACACCACCCCAAGGGCUGCCAGUAGCGAGAUCUCACUAGGGACUGUGGUACACCCGUCCCGUCUGCCUAAGCUACACCAUACACCACCCCGAGGGCUGCCGGUGGCGAGAUCUCACUAGGGAUUGUGCUACACCCGUCCCGUUUGCCUAAGCUUUACCGUACACCACCCACUAGAAUGACCGUCCAAGUAGAAAGGUCGAACAGGACUACUGUGACUCAAUACACGUCACAGCUUCACUGAGGGUAGAGAAAGGUGUCGCUAACUACCACUGACCCAACCUCACACGGGCUGCCCAAACGGACUCACCCUGCCUGUAUCCAGCUCAAGAACAGUUCAAACAGAAACUGCAAUCUCAUCGCACUGAAAUCUCAUUCCGGAAUGGUAUUCAUGGGCGUGACCCAACAGAGUUUAUAAGUGUCUCUGUCGAGUUCAUUCAGACUCUCACAGGUUGUAAUCACUGUAAAUAGGUUAAAUUGAUCUAAGUCGCUAUAAAUGGGUCAAACUGAUCUAAGUCACCCAUAACUCACGUGCCCUUAGCACAAUCCGAUGCAAAAAUAUAGAAAUCUGGGUCCACCGUCAACCCCGACGGCACCUGACAGUCCAACACUGUCUAACUCUACUGUAACCACACACUCGGCUCCUCAGCGCGAGCGUAAAUUCAACCUACACUCAUCUGGGUAUCCACCUUGCACUAGCAGCGGUGAUACAAAAAUCUGGAUCCACCGUCAACCCCGACGGCACCUGACAGUCCAAACGCUACUAAACAACAAGCUCGGCACCUCAGCACGAGCGUAAUGUGAGUCUACUCUAAACUGGGUAUCCUGUAACAUACUGAAACUCGGUAGAGAAUAUCGAACUUUAAUCAAAUUGACUAAAGCGUGCAAAAGAAAUGGUUAGACAAGUUCUAUUUAACAUUCCAAUAAGAUUGAAAGGGUUAAAAAUGAGUUUAAGAGAGGUUAGAAGAGUUUUAGCAUUGCUCGGCGCAAAAGAGAAGUCGAAAAAGAGCUAAAAAGCAUUCUAGAGCAAAGUGUACCGGUACAGCGUUGAUGGUUGUACCGGUACAGCAAGCAACCCGAGGAGUAGCUGCUCUCGGGUUUAAGCAAAAUUGAAUGUGUACCGAUACAAAUUGAAAGUGUACCGGUACAAAUAGUGCGAACCGAGAAAACUGCUCUCGGGUUUGGCCUCUGCGCAGAUGUGUACCGGUACAAAAACCCGUGUACCGGUACACUUUGGCUCUGGGAGCAGGGAUUGAUCUGUUGCAGAAUAGAAUUUUUGGGGGGCUCAGUUGCAAAUAUUACAACAUGUUAAUACCCCAACUCUUCUCCCCUUCACAGCCAACAGCCCCAACUCUCUCCCUCUCUCAUUCCUCUCUUUCUCUCUCUAGAGAUCUUGCUCUAGGAUAAGGAGUUGAAGGAGAAGAAGACAUUAGAGGAGAUUUUGGUGGUCUAGAAGGUCGAGAAGCUCUCCUACAAGGUGGAACUUGGGAGGAGCUUGGGCUAAGGUGAGUUUUAGUGUAAAGCCCAUCUAGGGUUUGGAUUUCACCCUAGGUUUUGGGAGUUUUGAGUUUGUUUCUAGCUUUAGAAACCCUUUUGAGGCUUGAGCACUAUAAAAGCCAUGAAAACUCAAGGUCCCCUCACGGUGAACUCAUAGGGUUUAAAGUAGAUGCCCUAGGAAUGGUCCAAAUGGCUUGGAAAUGGUAUUAAAGAGCUUCAUAGUUGAUUCUAAGCUAGCUUUUGCUUAGGAAUAAUAUCAAUCUAGAAAAAAUAGCAAAAUGAUAUUGUUAGGGCACCAAAAUUGAGGCUUUUGUUAUGGUUGGAUCUAAAUGUAAAUUAACCCUAUACAAACCUAAUUGUUAGGUAUACGAACAUUUUGGUGAAGUCGAUUCGGCGAUUCGUCGAGCCUACGUGAAGUUGUUGAAGAAACGGACCGUUAAAGCUUCGCUUCCGCCUGGAGGGCCGAGGCGACGUCCAAAAAUCACGAGAACGGAUUCGGAGCAUCUUAGCACCAAGUUAUAGACUUUCAAUUUCUGGAUCGUGGAUUGGUGGCCGUUUGAGUGGUCGUCGCAAGUUCGGGCCGAGCCGGAUCACAGGUGCCGCGGGAGGCCGAUUGCAAGUGACUACAAGCAAUCGGAAAGCGAUUUGAGAUGGGUUGUGCUCACCGAAGCGACUAGGUCGCCUUCAUGUCGAAGAAGAUAUGGUUUCAUAUUGAUGCAUAUAAUGGUAGCUAGUGGUAAAAUAUAUGAAUGCAUGAAUUGAAUGCUAUGUUAGGCUACCAAGGAUUGCAUGAUGACAUAAUGCGAAUGAUGCUAGUUGAGAGCAUAAGAGAAACGACCUAUGCAUGUAAAUAUUAUAAGAACGUGCUAGUUGGAAUGCAUAAUGACAUAUGUAGAGAAUGCUAAUUGAGAGGUGCAUAUUGUAAUAAAUACUAGAUAAAAUGCAUAAUGAUAUAAGAUGAGAAUGCUAAAUAAAAUGCAUGUUGAUAAAUUAUAGAAUAUACUUGAUUCAAAUGAGUCGAACUUGGGUAGAUAACUCUAGGUGCAUUAGAGAACUCGACAUUGAAAAAUAAGAAUGUGUAAACAUGGAAUACUCGAUUUGGACAACUAGGAGGUCAAAUAGAUCGAGUUGUAUUGAACCUAGUGUUGUGAACCUAGGAUGGAGAUGUGUGGCAUUUAACCUAGUGUUAAUAAACAUAGGUUGGUCAAGAGUGGCAUUGAACCUAGUGUUAAAGAACAUAGGUUGAGAAUUGAACCUAGAGCCAAUUGGACCUAGGAUGGAAAGGACAUUGGACUUAGAUAGGUCGAUACUAUAGGGUUAAGACCAACCCUUGAGUUAUGUGAAAUGGAAAGGUGUCAGUACCCUUAGUAAAGAAUAAAGCUUGGCUAAGAAUAAACAGUGGCUAAUAAGAAAGAAUUGCAAGUAUUAAAGAAUGGCUAACAAUAAAGAACGGCAAAUGAUAGAGAGUUAAAUCAUUUAAUCUACUUGCAUAGUUGCAUGAAUUUCAUACUGCAUAUUGUGAGGCACAUUCAUGUAUUUUAAUAUUUCAUAAAAUACUUGUGGAUAUCUGUUGGACUAACAUGAUUGCAGUGCCUCCUUGGACCUGAUGCGUCGAGCUUUUUCCUUGGGUGGCCGUACCCAUUGGAAACUAUGGACAAUAAUUCUCACCCCCGUAUUAUUUUGGGGGUACAGGUUCACACGUGAGCGGCGCAGCGGCACGAGGCAAAGGUAUAGCUCCGUAGAUAGCGCCCUACCCCAAAGACCAGAGAUAGCAGUACCCCGAGGUGGUCUAGCUUAGGGGUUUAAAAGACAAUGAAUCAAAGUUGUAAUAAAUUGUAAUAUCUAGAUUGUAAUUUGAAAGUUGAAUGUAAAAAAAAAUUAUGAUGAAAGAAUAUGUCUAGUGUGAAUGCUUGUAAUAGCAAGUAGUUUUAUGUUUUUGAUACUUCCUUAUGCAAUUUUUGAUUGAAAUGUGUUCCUGAUUGGAAUAUCGUAUAUUGUAUUGAUUGCGACGCCUAAGAUGUACAAGAGUAAAUCUGUCCGUUCGGCGGUCUGUCGGUGUCCCCGAACCCGACCAAAUAGGCGGGGCGUGGGGCGUGACAUAUUCACUACGCACUAACAGCGGUGAUACAAAAUACAGUAGCUCCUGUAACUAAAUCUGAUAAUUUUUCAGAAAUUGACAGUGUAGGUUUACUGGUUUUCUCUUAAGUCAAUUCCAAGUUCAACAUAUAAAAAGGUUCUAAACUUAAGGCUCCAAAUUCAUAUUCUAUAAAAACUAUGCAAAUCGAUGAAUUGAGCUACUAAACAUGAUACUACACAAAACAUACAUGCUGACAAAAGCCCGACUAAGGAGAAAAUCCAACGAUUUCGGUAAACAUUAACCCACCUCGAACGCUUGUCCAACGUCGGUAAGAAGUCGACUAGAGAAACCCGCACGCCCGCUUGACCUCCAACCCUCAACCAGUCUCGACCCACACGCACAAACAAUCCUCCGAGCAAGCGAGAAAUCCACCGGAGCUCGAGCCACGACCUCCACAACAUACGGUUAUUCACUAGCUAGAGAGAGAGAAGAAGAAGAAGAACCUACUGAGCAAAGCUUCUAACAUACUAUAUAGAGCUGGGGUCGGUUGGGAUUAACAUCACAACCAAAAGGACCAAAUUUUCCUUCACCAACUUAAAAUUACAGCUGGAGUACCAGUACUCAACUUGAAUGCCGGUACUCAGCUUCUCACACUGCUGUCUCGCGCACUGGGUACCGGUACUCAUCCGAUGCAGUACCGGUACUCGGGCUCGGUACCGGUACUCGACAAGUAGGUAUCGGUACUCAGCAUCAAACAUGCGCAAAGCCGAGAGCAUCCAACCCUGUAAUUCCACUAGGGUACUGGUACUUCUCUCAGGUACCGGUACUCAAUACUGAAAUCCUGCACUUUGCAGAUUUUAGUGCUAAAACUCCACUCUCGCCUCACACUGAGUUUGUUUUGCGUCCAAUUCACGCCAAAACGAUUCCUACUUGUCCCGACACUCACCAGACGUGUCAACAAGCUUCAGAUGCUGAGUUCCACGAACAGCGAAGCACCAGGGACACUACACCCCCGGCAAUGGCGAACUCAUUCUUAUACGUAUUUUAUGCAUAUAUAAUAAUAUUUUGGAAAAAAUAUAAUAAUAUGGGGCUAAAUCGAAGAACCAAAAUAGUACGAAUCGGUUUUACAAAAUUACAAAACUAGUAAUUCUUUUUAACAAAAAAGCCUAAAUAAAACAGCUAGCAUUCCUACAAGAUUUUUACACUUCGUUUGGUUCGGGGAUAAGGGCGGAGAUAACAUCUUAUCACCUCCUUUACAUCUAAACGCUAUUUUUCGUACCCGAGAAGAGUAGUUUUUGGAUAUCUGAAAUAAGUUGGUAUAACACGGGAUAAAUCUAGAAUUGUGUUCCAUCUUUAUUCCUGAAACAAAAUUAAUUAAACUCUAAUUAAUAAUUUUAAAUCAUGAAUUAACCUAAUUAAUAUAUUUAAAAUAAUAAUUAAUCAAAUUAAUAUUAUAUUCUUAUUUCUGGAUAACCAACUAAGGAUGGGAAUAGUNUGGUGCAUGUUAGACUAUUUUUGAGCUCCUCAAAUCUCUGCUAGCACUUAGGCAUCCAUUGGAACUUUUCUCCUUCCGAGUCAAACGGGUUAAAGUGGAAGCGAUCUUGGAGAAUCCCCUAACAAACCGUCGAUAAUAUCCCAUUAAAACUAGGAGACAUAUCCGGCGUAUAUUUUGGACGGCCAAUUUUUGAAUUUUUCGCGGAACAAACAACGACAAGAGCGAAUAACGACUUCUAUUUCCAACAUCCGGGCAAAAUAGUGAGUUGUAUGCCUCAUCGAGUGCAACCAACAUGCAGGUGAUCAUUUCUAUACGUAUUUUAUACAUAAAUAAGAGUGUUCUGAAAAGAAUAUAAUAAUAUGGGGCUAAAUCGGAGAAACCAAAAUAAUACAAAUCAGCUUUACAAAAUUACAAAACUUGUAAAUUUUUUUAACAAAAAAAAUCUAAAUAAAACAUCCAGUAUUCCUACAAGAUUUUUAGAAUUUUAUAGUCGUAGUGCCGUGGCCAUGUUGGUACUUUCAGUGCGAAAAAAAAUUAAUUGCGUUUGAUUUAUUGACAUAAAUAAAUUAUAAAUCAAAUUCACCUAACCUAGGAGAAUGCAAUACUUAAUUUUGCUGUCCAAACCUCCAUUUAUACUUGUAUGAUCGACACGUGUCGGUGUUCUUACUGAGUAAACUGUGACUUUGCCACACGCCUUAUUAGCGAAGUAAUCUCGAUAAGUCGUGUUUAAAUUUGUCAAACUACUGAAUAAGUCAAUAGUCCAUCACCAUCAUUCGAUCACCAUCCACAUAAUUAAUAUAACAUGACCAACCCACUUAAUAAAACAUCAAUUUAUUCACUCAUCUCGUGCUGUAAAUAUACAAAAAAGUGUACAAAUAUCUCCAUACAACCAACAUAUAUAUAAAUAAAUACUCUCUCAUAAAAUAAGCGAAAAAACAAAAAGAAUCAACAAAUAGAAAUAUAUAUAGCUAAUAUAUAUGUUUACGUAUUAAUUAGUAGUCCACGUCACAAUCGGUCCCCAAAUUCACCGUGGACGUUGAGCUCGUGUUGCUGGGAACAGGUAAGCUCAAAGUGCACUUAAUCGUGGGAUUAACAUGGUGAAUCUUAAAGAUCCAUAUCUUGAGCCUGAGCUUAGUGUACACCUUCACGUCGACGUUGUAAAACCCUUUACCUUUUUCUGUGUUGUAGGUCGUCGAAACCGAGUUCCCGAGCAUCAGCUGCGUCCCCUGGAACACGGGCUUAAUUUCGCUGGUCGUCUUGUGGCCCUGGUAGAAGGGCGGCAGCAGCUCGAAGCCGAAGCGGUCGCCGUCGUAGAACGCUUGGCUUUCGAUGUAGUCGUAGUAGAUGCCGAUCCUCUUGUUGCGGUUGCGGACGGCGAUGUCGACGGUGAGGUUGAAGUCGAGGGUGUUGGAGGAGGAGAGGGCGAACUGCGUGAGGGCGGCGGACUCGGCGUGGGCUUUGAGGCCGUAGGGGCGGAUGACGAGCCAGACGACGAGGACGAUGAUGCCGAGGAUGACGACGAUGGAGAAGAUGAGCUUGAAGAGGGUGCAGAAGAGGCAGGCGCAGGGGUUGCAGCCGGAGCUGCGGCCGACGCUGCGGUACGUGUUCUGCGGGGGGAUCGGCGGGCCGUAGUAGGCGCCGCUUAGGUUGGCUUGCUUCGCGUCAGCCAUAAUUGAGAGAGAGAGAGAGAGAGAGAGAGAGAGAGAGAGAGAGAAUCUGUGCGAACUAAAGAGGAGAUAACUAAUUAGAGAGAGAUGUUGAUUAAUGGGUUUGGAGAGGAUAGGAUAUGAGGAUCAAGUGGGAUCUAUUUAUAUAUUUAUAGAGAGAGAGAGAGAGAGAGUUACGCGGGGAUCUAUAUAUGGAGAAUGGGAGGAGAAGUUUCCGAAGGGGAAAUUAAAGUAUUGAAGAGUCGUGAAUAGCUGCGGCUUUGGUUUUAAUUUGGUAGUAUACAUGGAUGUUAACGCGUUUGGAUUGGUUACUACGUCUAGUAUUUCGAAAUGGUGGGAAUUGACACUCGGACAGGUGUGGGGCGUGGUCAAGACAACGCGCCUAAAUGGCCUUCGUGGCAUUUCUCCUUCAUUUCUUUUUCCUUGUUUUUAUUUUUAUAUAUAUGAUGCAUAAAUUCGAGUUUAACUGGAUUGCUUUUAAAAAAUUAUAAAAAACGCAAGAAAAAAAAAAUAAAAAAAUUAUAGAAAAAGAAUGAUGAUGAUGGAAUUGUAUCGUUAACUGAAAAAAAAUUAUAAGUUGCAUUACUUAAAAUGUAAACUACAGCUUUAAAAUAAAAAUUACACUUUUUAAACAAAAAUUACACUCUUUGAAAAAUAUUUACACUGUUUCUCCUCUUAUUGCACUCUUUUAAAUGUAAACUGAAUCUAUUAAGAUGAAAGUUACACUCUUUAAACGAAAGUUGCACUGUUUUUUCUCUUAUUGCACUAUUUCUCCUCUUGUUAUAUUAUUUUUUAUUUUAAACUGCACCCCUUAAAGAGAUAUUUAUACUGUUUCUCCUCUUGUUGCACUGUUUCUCCUUUUAUUGCACUAUUUCUCCUCCUGCAUGUUAUACUGUUUUUAUCUUAAAUUGUAGCAUUUGAGAGGAGAAAUAAUGAAACAAGAGGAGAAAUAGUGCAACAAGAGGAAAAACAGUGCAACAAGAGGAGAAACAAUAUAAAUAUCUCUUAAAUGGGUACAGUUUAAGAUAAAAAAUAGUGUAACAAGAGAAGAUAUGGUGCAACAAGAGGAGAAACAGUGCAACUUUUGUUUAAAGAUUAUAAUUUUCAUCUUAGUGGUGCAAUUUACUUCUGAAAGAGUGCAAUAAGAGGAGAAACAGUGUAAAUAUCUUCCAAAAAGUGUAAUUUUCGUUUAAAGAGUGUAAUUUUUAUUUUAAAACUGCAGUUUACAUCUUAAGUAGUGCAACUUAUAAUUUUUUUUGCAGUUAACGAUGCAAUUUCAUCUUCAUCAUUAUUUUUCUAUAAUUUUUUAUCUUUAUUUUUUCUUACUUUUUUUAUAAUUUUUUUGGUCACCCCUUUCCACGGUGUCGGCAACGAUGGCGCUAAGAACCCCCCGCUCCGAGGCUGCAGCGCCGCAGUGACCUCCACGGUGUCGGCGCCGGCGUCGGCGCCGGCGAAGAUGCAUCGUCGUCGGAGGCGGCAGAGGAAGAGGGAGAGGGAGAGGACGAGAAGGGCGGAGAAGGGCAAGAGAGGCGUCGUCGUGGGAGACAGUGGAGGAGAGUCGAAGAGGGGAAAAAAAAAAAAGAGUCGCGGCGCGCCCUCGACAGGGUCGGAGGCGAGGAAGGUGCGGGGGUCUACAGGCGAUGGUAGGGAUGCGUCGGCAUAUUGUCGACACCGGCGAAGAUUCUUCGUCGUCGGAGGCGGCAGAGGAGGAAGGAGAGGGAAAGGACGAGAAGGGCGGGGAAGGCGAGAGAGGCGUCGUCGUCGGAAACGGUGGAGGAGAGUCAGAGAGGAAAAAAAAAAGAGUUCGCGGUGCGGCCUUGGCAGGGUCAGAGACGAGAAAGGUGCGGGAAUGUGCGGGUGAGGGUAAGGAUGCGCCGGACAAGCUGCCUCCUCCGCCUUCGCCGCUCUCUGGGAAGAGAAAGAAAAAAAGAACGAGAGAAAAAAAAAAGAAGAGAGAAAAAAGUAUAAGGGUAUUUUGGUCAGUUUGCUGAAAAAGCGGACCGAAUUUGCAAAAACGAAAAAGGUGGCCGAAUUUUGCAAAAGUCCAAAAUAAGUGAAUUUUUUAUGCCAAUUGGCCAAUUCAAAACUAUUAGUAUAUAUAUUGACGAGAGAUAUGAGGGAAAAAUGGUAUUUAAAAAUAUUAACUUAAUUUUGAACGUGCUUUAAAUUCUAAGGGAAGUCAUGAUGACUUUUUAUAUCUUCAAGAGAUUAUUAACUUCAAAAAGAUAUUAAUAAAUUACGUACGAGAUACUAAGAAGUUAUCUAUAAAAUUAUUAGGCCAAUGUGCAUAAAAAUUUCACAUGUUUUGCAUUUUUGUAAAAGUACAUCUUUUUUUGAAUUUUGCAUAUAAGAUCUGAAUUUUCAAUAAACUAAUCAAAAUACUCUUAUUCCUCGCUUUCUCUCAUUUCUCUCUCUUCCUUUUUCUCCUCUCUCUUUGUCUUCCUCCUCAUCUCCUCCUUUCUUUCUCCUAUCGCUUCUUUUCUCUGCUCCUCUAUUGUCCUCACGUCAACACCAUACUCCUCUCGCCUAUCUUGCCUGUACCUCCAUCGACUCAGACAGCGAUAGCAACAAAACGAAAAACUAUAGCUCCUUACGAAUUUUCACCAGAUUAAGGUGUGGGCUUGGAUAUGACACAAUCAGAGAGGUGAGAUUGUGGUGGACGGCGUGAUCAUGGAUGGUGACGGCGACGAGGGUGGCACAUGCUUUGAGGAGGGUGGAGAGGAAAAGUGCGUAAAGGGCAGGAGUGGCUACUGGGGCAGACAGCGAGGGAGAAGACAUGAUAACAAAAAAGAAUGGAGAAGGUGAGAAAAAAAAAGAGAAAAAAAAGAAAAAAAAGAAGAAAAGAAAAGGGAGAAAAAAGUACUAAAAGAAAAAAAAUAAUGAAAAUAUAUAUUUUUCUUCUUCUUGGAGGGCUUAUAUGUUGCGGGCCACUAUAGACAAGGCCAAGAAGUAGAGAAGAAAAAAGAAAAAAAAAGUUGUAUCGUUUAAGACGUAGUUGUAUUGUUAAAUUGUAUCGUUUAAAACUAUUUAAAAUUAAAUUUCACCAUGUAAAAUAGAUGUUGCACUGUUUUGGGAGGAAGUUGUAUUGUUUUAGACUUAAGUUGCACCAUCUUAAAUUAUUUAAGAUUAAGUUGCAACUUAUUAAAUAGUGCAAUUUAAGUAUCAAAUAAUACAAUUUAGUCUCAAACGGUAUAAUUUUUAUUUUUUAUGGUAUAGUUUAUUCUCAAGUAUUAAAAUUUCAUAAAUUUGGCAAAAUUAAUCAUAUUUAAAUUUAGAUUUAUUAUAAAUAAAGAUCGAUCCUAACAGAUAUAAGACUGCUUCAUAUGAUAUAUUUUAUUUAUUUUCUAUCUAUCUUUUAAAUUAAAUACAAUAAUAAUCAGACUUUGAUACGAAGUUAAUUUGGACUCUAUAUAAAAGAUAUACGGUGAGUGAUAUUCAACCCCUAAGCCGAACUUUUCGUGUCUGCAUAUUGAUCAAAAGUUUUUUCCUAUAACACUAGAAGUUAUUUCCGACUUUAUUUAUGAGUUUGGAUAUUAAUAUGUAUUUAUUAUUGUUCGUCAUAUAGAUCUUUCAAUUGGCACAAGGGUGGUAGAUAAUAAAUUAAUUUUGGCUUUGAAUAAUAUAAUUUAUCUACAAUGUUGGAUCCUAAUUAAGGUCACAUGACGUCAUAACAUGUGCAUGCAGGUAGGGGUACCUAGGCCGAACCGGGCCAGUGUUCGACCCAGCCAAGCCGUAAUGGGCCGUACUGGGUUCUGUGCGGGUUCUUUAAAUUUUAAAAUUUUAGAAAAUAUAAAACAUUUUAAAAAUUAAAAAUUAAAAUGAUUUUCUCUUCCUAAUAUGUUAGCUAAAGAAAUAAAAAUUUAUUAAAAAAUUUAUGAAGUAAUAAAGUUUUAAAUAAUUUUAAAAUUUUACAAAAGUUUUAAAUUUUUAGAAAAAACUCUUUUUUAAAAGAAUCGAAAACCUUUGUGACGUGAACCCAUCUUCCAAAGAGGGCCUAGGCCCUAAGCCCUUCUCUUUCUCACCCUUGGGAGUUGGGGCGCCAGAUUGGCUCUCCAAGUCCCGAGAUCCAGCCCAGCUUUGGAGAGUUGGCGAUGGCUCCCCCCAACUCUCCAAGGGCCGAAGGGCCUUGGCUUCCCAAGUUCUAAAGCCGGGCCGUGCUGGCAUGAAAGGCACGGCCCAAGACUGUAACAGGCCGUGCCGUGCCGGACCAACGUACUUAGUUGGAGUGGUUCAGCAUGGCUCAUGAUGCCGGGUCAGGCUGGCCUACAUGGGUUCUAUAGAACCGGUGCCAUGCCUAGGCCCGGCUCUACAUCCCUACAUGUAGGGUCUUACAUAUUAAUAUAAAAUUUGGAAACUUAUAAAAUCUUACGAGUCAUAUGAUCUUAAUUCAUGGGCCUCCUAAUUAAGUCAGAGUAGCCUUCUUUGAUCAUAUAACACUUGCUUACGUUUAGUAUGAACCUGUGGCAAUGUUCUGACCGUGUAUGGUCAUCAAUAAUCCUUCAGAGAUUGGAUUAAUAAGGUAACAAAGGCGGUGUAUGUCGUCUGCGUUUGCCUAUGUACAUAAAUUGGAUCUAACCGCUAUGUGCGCGAGACCAUCCCUAAAGCAAGUGGCAAAGGGCCUGGUGGUUGGUACUCGAGACCCAAGUUCGAAUCCUAGUUGAUUCACAUUUCCAGCUAAGUUUAUUUCUAAAAUGAAGUAAACGAAGCGGAUAGCGUGCUACCUAUCUCUCAAAAAAAAAAAAAACAGCUAUGUGCGCGAGAAUAUUCGGCGGCAUUGUUUGCAUCUGCUACCUUUUUUUUCACUUGUUAACCGUACAUUUCUUUUUUUAUGAACCCGGUCUUCAACAAUUUCGUUGAGUGGGACAAUUAUUCAGGAGAAGGCUGAGUCAUUCUAAUUUGAAUAGAACAAUCAUCAUAUCUACGUUAACUGACCGUCUCUAGUGUAAGUGGCAAAGGGCUUGGUGGUUGGUACUGGAAGACUCAAGUUAGAAUACUAGUUGAUUCACAUUUUUAGCUAAGUUUAUUUUCAAAUGAAAUGAACGAAGCAUGUAGCAUGCUACCUAUCUCUCAAAAAAAAAAUUAUCAUAUAUAUCUAUGUUUAUUUCGUUCCUUUCCCAAAUUUAAAGCUUUAUUAAUUUAUAAUCGCGUUUGCUUUUGCAAAUUAGUUUUAGUAGGUGUUCCAUUUUGACCACAUGCUCAUUACCCAUUUAAUCUUCUUUAUUCAUCUCUAUUCGAUCCAUCAAAAAACAUUAUACUUACAAAAGUAUUGUGAACAUAAAAGUCUUUGUGGUCAAAUAAGGAUAGAUGAAAUUUAUUUUUUGAUUGUAAUAUUAUGCCUUUAAUUAUUGUAUCUAUAUUAAUUCUUAUAUAUCAGUGUGUUAUUUUGACCAGGCUAUCAUAUAUACCUUGCUCUAGCAAUGAAAAGCAUCAUCGUUCACGCACAUAAACCCAUGCCGAACGAAAAGACUUUUCCUUACUCCCCUAAGGCGUCACAAUUUGUAUAAUACAUUCCAUAAAAAUAACACAUAUGGAUUAUAUAAGAAAGGUAACAUUUAAACAUAAAUGCAACUAAUUAUUACAUAAUUUAUUUCGUUUAUAUUUUCAAAAUAUAGUCCAAAAAAUUUCUUUAUUUGUUGCAUUAUGUUUUGCAUUUUGUCAAAAUAGUACUCCCUAAUAAGGGUACGUGAAAAGGCAAAUAUAUUCUCAAUCUACAGUACUACGUCAUUUUCUUGUUCGACCAUAUUUACCUGUAACGAUCCGACCCGCUAGCAACAAUAACUCGUUAAGCCCAAACCACUGGCCCAAAAUAUUUAAGUCUAGUUAUUAUUAUGAGUCCAUCUCUAGUAUUCAUUGCAUUUGGAAAUGUCACACAAUCCAUAUGUCAUAAUGUCAUUUUGUUCUAUACCUUUUCUAGAUUCUUGUCAUUACUCAUGCAUACACAGGGUUACACAAGUUUCAACUCUUUUACAAUCAUUUCUCAUGCAUUUGUACUCACAACAUGCAAAUAUAAGCUCUCAAUUAACCCUAUCAUGCACGAUGCUCAAUAUACAACUUAUGCUAAAAAAUGACAUUUUAGACAUAAAAAAAAUUCAACGUUUUCGGAAUGCACCACCCAGCUUGUAUGGUUACAAGGGUGCUACGGUUCAAUUCUUGAAAUGUUUGGGUGCCUAUUCCGCGUGCUGCGACUAUCUGUACUAAAAAUGACGUUUUUGUCAAUCUCUUUGCGUACACUCGUCGGAUUACCGAAUCGAGUUCAUAUUCUUGUUAGAAAUACCCCUAAUUAGGUUUCUAUAAGGUCAAUUUGUCUUUAAACCACUCUAGGACAAAAGUCCCAAUUUCGAUGCCCUGACAAUGCUAUUUGCUAAAUCUUUGGAUUGGAUCUCUAGAACAAGCAAAAGAAAGCUUGUUGAACCUCUAGAAACUCAUUUAGAACCUUUCCUAAGCCUUUCCAACCAUUUCUAGGGCAUAAAAACUAAACCCUAGGUUUCUACCAUGGGACCACAUGAGGAAAACUUGAUUUCAUGUGUUCUAUAGCCAUUAGAGGAUUCCCACACUUGUAGGAAGCUCAAAUCCAAGGAUUUAGGACAUGAAAUCUAAGCCCUAACCUUACUCUUACAAGAAAACCUUACCUUAGCCCAAAGCUCUCCAAGGUCCACCUUGUAGGAGAGUCCCCAAGCCUUCAAAACUCAAGAAAUCUCCUUCAAAUCGUUCUCCUUCUCCUUCCUCUUAGCUCCUUGGUGUGAUCUCUAGAGAGAGAGAAAGAAAUGAGAGAGGAGAGGUGUUAGGCUGUGAAAGAGAGAGGGGAGGGGUGUUUGGGGUGUUAUUAUGUUGUAACAUUUGCAACAAAAUCCUCAGUUUUCUCUAAUUUGCAGCAGACCUAUUUUUGCUGUCGGGUUCAUUGUGUACCGGUACAGGCUCGGUUGUCACCGAUAAUACGAUCGCGCAGAGACAAAUCCGAGAGCAACUUUUCUCGGUCUGCACUGUUGUACCGGUACAGGUACAAUGUUGUACCGGUACGUACAAAAAAGCUCCAGACUUCUAUUUUUGCAUCUUUUCGAUUCUGUUUCGCGCCGAUUGAUGCUAAAACCUUCCUAACCCUUUUGGAACUCAUUUUUAACCCUUCCAACAUUGUUGGAAUGUUAAUUUGAUUUUGUCCAACUUUUUCUCUUGGAUGCUUUAGUCAAUUUGGCUAAAGUCCAAUGUUCACUAUCGAGGUUUCGGUACGUUACACCGUGAACUGUCGGCGAGUUGAAAAACCCGAACUUGAGUCGAUCAUUAAUUUCGAGUCACAUCUAACAAUAAUUGUAAGAUAAGGGGCAGAAAAUGUAAGCGAGUAGAUGAUGUUCAACUUUCACAUAAUUGGAAGAAACAGAGCAUUUUUUUUAACCUGCUGUAUUGGAAAACUCUUCUAGUACGUCAUAAUCUUGAUGUUAUGUAUAUUGAAAAAAACUUUACUGAUAAUGUACUUUGCACAUUACUUAAUUCUGAAGGAAGGUCAAAAGAUAAUUUCAAGUCUCGUCUCGACCUUCGAGAAAUGGGAAUAAGACAUGAUCUUCAUCCAGUAUUAAGUGGAGCCAAAACAUAUCUGCCCCCGUUAUGCUUUUCCAUGAGCACAAAGGAAAAGGAAGAUUUUUGUAAAUUAUUGAAGGGAGUUAAAUUUCCUGAUGGUUAUGCAGCAAAUAUCUCAAAUCGUAUACAUGUUAAAGAGAAAAAAAUUUCAGGGCUCAAGAGCCAUGAUAGUCAUGUGUUGAUGCAGCAUUUACUCCCGUUAGCUGUGAGAAGACUCCUGCCAGAGAAUGUUAGCCUAGCCUUGAUAGAGCUAAGUAACUUCUUUAGGGAAUUGUGUUCAAAAUCAUUAAAAAUAAAAGAUAUAGAUCAACUGGAAGAUCGAAUUGCUUUGACAUUAUGCCAUCUUGAGAGAAUAUUUUCUCCGUCCUUUUUUGACAUCAUGGUCCAUUUGCCAAUUCACCUUGCUAGUGAGGCCAAACUUGAUGGUUUAGUGCAAUACUGUUGGAUGUAUCCAAUUGAGAGGUACAAUAUGAUAUAAAGAUUCGAAUAGUAAUUUAACAAAUUUAUUAAUUAUUUAUAGUUUUUUUUUUCUAUUUUGGUUCUUAUUUUUAUUGAUUUAGGUUCCUUUUGAAAUUGAAGUCAUAUGUUCGAAAUAGAAGACAUCCAAAAGGUUCAAUCGCAGAAGGUUAUUUAAUUGAGGAGAGCCUAACUUUUUGCUCUCGCUACUUACAUGGUAGUGUUGAAACUCGGUUCAACCGUCGAGUGAGAAAUGAUGAUCCUAAUGCUAGUGACUUCUCUUAAAGAACAUUAUUUUCUCAUAUUGGUCGUGCGCUCGAUGAUGGCGAAACUAUAACAUUGGAUUAUACAACAUGGGUACAAGCUCAUCGAUAUGUGAUAUUUAAUUUCGAUCACAUAAGCUCUUAUCUUGAGUAAGUUCUUAAACUUGAAUACUAGUUAAGAGUCUAUAUGCUAUAAAUUUAAUUUUUAAUAGUGUAUUUAGUUAGGCUUAUUUAAUUACAGAAAGCAUCUUCAAGAAAUCAAGGCACAUAAUCGUCGAGCGCGAAGGCGUGAUGUCGAGCAUAUUCAUAAUGAUACCUUUCAUGAAUGGUUUAGAUUUCAUGUAAGCCUACUUCACUUUGAACUUAAUAUUUUAACUAUUAUAAAGUAAAACUAAGACAUUGAUUGGUUUGUCAUUGUUUAAUAGGUUCGCAAUUUGAUAAGAGAAGAGAGUGUAGAGUUGCCAGAGGAAAUACGAUGGUUGGCAUCGGGUCCUCUAAUGAUAGCAAGGAGAUAUAAAGGAUAUAUUAUUAAUGGAUUUAGGUUUCAGACAAAAGAUGUUGAGGAGAGACGAAGAUCACAAAAUAGUGGCAUUGUUGUUGUUGCAAGCGCCUCAAGCUUUUCUAGUGUAAAGGAUCAAAAUCCUAUCAAAGGAGAUGUUGCAUACUAUGGAGUUCUAAAAGAGAUAAUUGAGCUAUACUAUAAGGCAAAGGUUGUGUUGUUUAAAUGUGAUUGGGUAGAUAUGCGUUCUGAAGGCAGAGGGAUUAAGAAGGACAAAUUUGGAUUUACUCUUGUUAACUUCAAUCGAUUACUAUAUAGCAAUGAAAAUAUAGCGAAUGAACCUUUUGUACUAGCAUCACAAGUUGAACAAGUGUUUUAUAUACAAGACCCUUUAGAGGAAGAUUGCCACGUUGUAGUCUGUACAAAACCUAGAGAUUUGUUUGACAUGUCUGCUAAAGAAGAAGAGUGUGGAGAUGAUAUGAAGAUAUAUUACCCAUAUGGUUUUGAGGGUAAUUUAAAUACAGAUAGCACCACUAGUAAUGAUAUUGAUAAUGGUAGCUGGGCGAGUACAGAUAUUCCUGGAACAACUAUUAAUAUGCUUUUAGAUACUACUCAUCCAAAAGAUGCUAUACAAAGUGAUGACUCAGAGCCUGAAGGAGUUGGUGAUGAUGAUCAUUGGUGUGAUUGAUUUUUCAGUUAUAAGGUUGAUUCAUUGCUUUGUCUUCAAUCUCUUUAAUAUGAAAAUUUUGAUUUAACAAAAAGGUAUAUAUAAAUUGCUUGUUUGCUUUAGAAUUGAAUAUUGUUUCUCUAUUCAUAUUUCAUGAUAUUUAGAAUGCUUGUUUGUUUUAGCAUUGCUCAUCAUUUGAUUUAUAUUUUUGGGAAACUUUCAUUAGCCCAGCAUACUUUAGUAUAUUAUUUCUAGAUUACUUUUAAAGACAAGGGUAUCAUAUUGUUAAUAUAUUCGACCUUUAUUGAAAUCUAAAUUAUCAACUUUUUUUCUUUAAUGUUUAGAUAAUGAAUUACUCUACGUUUUAGUCUUAUAAUACUUUUCUUAAGUAGUAUAUAAGAAUUUUUCUAAUUCUAAAAGAUUCAGUAAUUAUUUUAACAUUAUUUGCUUUGCAGGAGGCUCAACAAUUGACUAUGACACGCACAAAGUUUCAGCGAGGACGUUCUAUGAUUGGUCCUUUAUCUGCAACAAACACCUUUUGUAAUUCUAUUCAGAAAGAUGUACCAUCAAGUAAUCACUCGUUAAGGCAAUCUGAAGGUCGCCUUCAGGAGAAUUUUUUUGAUUUGGGUAUUGAUAAUGAUGACCUGUUUAGGCCUGAUGAUGACCAACCUGAAGAAAAUAUAAGUAUUCAUUCAUAAGACCUAUAGGAGUAUAGUAUAGAGAAUUAAUUGAUCACUGUUAAAUAAUUAUUUUUUAACUAUCUCUUAUGAUUAUUUAAGAACAGAUGCUUCUAAAAAGUCAAGGAAUGGGAGAGGUCCUACUUGCAUGCAUAAAAUAUGGGCUAGACAUGAUGGUGAUUUGUUGGCAUUAACUUAUAAUGAAUUUGAUCAGCCUGUCGGUGAUGAAGCUACACAAUUCACAAACUUUUUAGGCACUGUUGCUAGAAGUGGAAAAGAUGCACCAUUGACAUAUAAAGAUUGGAGGCACAUGCCUUUGGACAACAAAAAGAUAAUAUGGAAUAUUGUUAAGGUAUCAAUUUUUUAGCUGGUUUGUCUUUGUUUUUAAUAUCUAAAUAUCUAUAAGUAAACAAAUUUGAGAAUUUCUUGCAGUUAAAGUAUAAUCUUGGAGAUGAUAAUUGGCCGUGGAUUAUGAAAGCUCUUGGAAAAAAAUGGAAGGACUUCAAAUCUGAUCUAAAAAAAAAGCACUAUGAUGCUCACAGUACUUAUGAAGAUCGUCUUGCUGAUCGUGAUUCGAGAGUCCUCCCAGAGCAGUGGAGAUAAUUGAUUGAAUAUUGGGACAGUGAAGAAGGACAGGUGCUUUAACAAUUUAUUCAUUCUUUAUCGAUUUCAUUUAUUAUUUUUUCUAGUGCAGCUAUAUUGAUGUUUCUUUUAACUAAGUUAAUGUUGUAUAUAGACAUGUAGUUUAAGAAACAAAGGUAAUCGAUCUAAGCAAAUUACUACUCACACUGCUGGCUCAAAAAGUUUUGCUCCUAUUCGUGAAGAAAAGGUAAAUCAUUAGAUUCACUUAUCCUUCUAUAUUGAUAUAUGUGCUACUACAUGAAUUUACUGAUUUAUAACCUUUUUUAUCAUUAACAGCGAAAGGAAAAAGGAGUAUUGCCAACUAGAGCCGAACUAUUUAAGAUUACUCAUAUUCACAAAAAUGGAGAUCCAAUGAAUGAAGAAUGUGCCAAAAAAAUUGUAAGUAUACUAAUAAUUUUUUAAAUUUUUAUUAUUAGAGACUUUAGCUCUUGCCUAAAUAUGAAUAUGUUUUAGUUCAUAUUAAGAUGUUGUGAUAUUGUGAUAUACAUUCAUGUCCAUUUCUAGCUAGUCAUGAUAUUGUGAUAUGCAUGAUUUGUUGUAGAGAGAGAUUGAUGUGAAGACCAAGAAUCAAUCAGCUCUUGCUAAAAAGGGCGCUAAAGAAGUGGUGAUUUAUUCUCUGAUGUAUUUGGAAAAGAAAAAUAUGGUCAUGUGCGUGGCCUCGGCUUAGGCCCUGCUCCUACUCAUAUUUGGACCGAUGCACCUUCACCCGCAGCAUCUAUAAGAAUGGCAACUGAGGCUAGAAAGAAAGCAGAGGAGGAAACAAAAGAAAUGAAAGAAAGAAUGAUAGUUAUGGAAACCCAGUUGACUAAAAUGAAAGCAAUGAUGGUAGCAAUUUUGCAAAAUAAGUCUACUGAUUUUCAUCAAUCUAAUUAUACACCAGCAAAUCCAUUGGAUGGUCGACAGGUUUAAUAAUUUAGUAUUUCUAAAAGAAUUUAUCAAAUAAUCUCUUGUUGAAAUUUUAGUAUUAUUUACAGUGUUAUUCCUUAUGUAGAAUGUUGUUGAUGCAAAUAAUCCUAAUGAUGCAUUUGAGGGAGAAGUGCGAUCAUCAUCAUCCAGUCACGAGUUUCAGUCAUAUCAGGUAAAUAUGUUGCCUAUACACUCAGUGCCGUAUGUUUCCAAGCUACAUAUGUUUAAGACAUUUUUUUAAGGACGGGAAGCAUUACUCUCAUAUGUGUGUGUGUGUGUGUGUGUGUGUGUGUGUGUGUGUGUAUCGGUCAAUAUUUGCUCUUAUAUAUAAACAAGCAAUCUAGAUUUGACACUAAACCUUUCAUGAGCUUGGAUCAUUUCUAGUACUGAUCAGUUUUGUUUGCUUAAAUAGAACUUCUGAAAAAACAGUUAUAAGGUUUUUAUUAAACUAUUUCCUAUACCUUUCGUUAAAGUAAUAAUAAAAAUUAAGCUAUAAACUCACGAAUCUGCUUUGAGCUAUUUCAGUUUCAUAUGCAGUAAAAACUCUAAAUAUUCCUUUUUGAUGAAAAGGACAAUUUGAAUGUUUGAUGUUGCAUGGAGACGACACGAAACGUCCUCGGAGGGGAAUUAUCAUGAAGUUCAAUGAAUAUCGUAGCAUUGAAACUUGGAAUAUCCGAGAGAAGAUCAUGAUCGUCAUGAAUGAUCGAUCCAGUAGAAAGGAAACAGUGUCCUAAUGUGCAUUUGGCAUGUGCAUUCAAUCAGUACUCGCAAUUCUUUGAACUUGGAUUUCUCCAAUAAUUGAUUGGAAAUUCUUUAAUAAUUUUGCGCACUAGCUUGAUAGAAAGUGUUUUCUUGAUUGAUAGCAUAAAUGUUGUGCAAGCUAGUGGCUUUAGGAGUUUUCAUAGUUUGACUCCUUUUUUAUAUUAUUUCGCACAUAGGUUGAACAGUAAUGUUGUUAGGUUGAGACCAGAUCUAUACAACAAAAUCCGAUUUCUUACUAUGUCAUUGCUUGCCCGCCUUUUCUAGAUAGAGGAAUUAUAUGUUAUAUAUGCCAUUUAUUAGAAAACUAUUUAAUUCUCUAAUACAUAUAUAUAUAGGUCCAUCAAAUGAAGAAAAGAAGGGUGCGAUAUGAGCAUGAAAUCGAGGUAAGUAAUAGUCUGCAGAUUAAUAUUAUUUGUUAAAAGUUAUUUGAUGGUGAAAUAUAUGUGUCUCUCUAUAGAAUAAUCCUAGACAGGGUGAAAAGGAAGUGCUCUUGAUGUCCCUUGGACAACCUCAUCGCCCCGUAGCACGAGGACUUUUAUUUAGUAAGGAUCCUUCUACUAUUAUAGGAGGCGAAAGAUUAGGUCAACAAUAUUGGGAGAUUUAUGUUGAGGUAGUAAUGAUACCUAUAGAAAGUCUGAUUCGGACCUAUCGUGGUAUGACGACUCUACGUGAUGCUGCAAGAAAAUCUAUUGCUUGGCCAUCCUAUCUUGUAAGUAUAAUAUAUAUACAUCUAAAAUUGCAUGUAUUAGUUUUGUUCUUUUUGAAACUUAAUAACUUGGUUGAUAUUUUCUUUUUCUUGCUAAAAACGAAACACUCAUGUUUAGUUACCAAAAUUCAAAAAUCUCUUUCUUUUGAUGAAUAGGAAUAUAAUAUUAGACCAAAUAUUUAGUACUUUUUUUUUCCCCUCUAAUGCAGGUUAAGCCGGUGAGAAGGUGAAGAGAUCUAUUGAUUGAUCGCAAGCCUUCAUUUCCUUCAUUUUGUGUAGUUAAGUUAAUCUUAAUAUACCACCAUCUACAAGUCUGCAAUGAGAAUGGAAAGAUGUUCAUAGUUUUCAGCUUGGGAACUAAAUGUUAAACCUAUAUGCCAAACCCUAGCUCUUGAAGAUAGUAAGAUAGGAACAUAUUAUGAUCUGGUUAAUGAAACUAUGCUAAAAGUGUCACGCCCUGCGACCGCUACCCAUUUGGUCCGGUUCGGGCGCGUCGAACAGACGCUGAACGAAUAGCACCUCCCCUGUCUGCCCAAGACAACAACGAGAUCAUGUACAACAAGUUCCCAGGAAAUCAACUUGUAUACAUACACGAUCAACAACAACAACGAGAGCACAACAAGUGCUAAACAAUCAAGAGCAAGGAUCACAAGUAAUAAACAAGUGAACAAAAGAAAGAUACUAAACUAUUACGUCCAUUCAACUUUAAUAUAUUUGAUUAACCUUACAUUCUUCCAAAACAAAAUCAUAAAGUUUACAAUUCUCCAAAAUACCUCACCACCUAUACAUCAUCUAUACUCAUGUACACAGGGUAGCUCUAAUGCAAAAAGGAAGGUCUCUACUAAACCACUAGGGCGCUAUGCCCUUACCACGAUCCUCGCCAGGAGUACUCGAACUCGGACCUGCAACAAAGUGGGGGGAGAACUAUUGUCCGUAGUUCCCAGUGGGUUCGGCCGCCAACUCCGCCGAUCUCCCCACUAGGUCUAAACAGGCAUAGGAAGACAGAUAGAUAGAUGAUAGGUAUGUGGAAAUAAAAACAACAACAACAAUGAUAUAGCAAGUAUCCUACUAUGCCUCAAUCCAAGGUAAUGAAUGCAUGUACUACUAAAUGCAUGUACUACAUAGUAAAAGGCUAGCUACCAUGCUUCUAUGUCCAAUAACGAUGCUACUCGAAAUAUUACCCAAUCACUUGGCUAGCCCGAAGGCUCGCUCUCAAUCUCAAGUUUCAAUCCCAUAGGUGGGGAGUCCCAGCCGCUCGACUCACCCGAGACCGCUUGCGGACAGCUAGCUACUGCUCUCAUGUGUGACCAAACCUUUGGAGUGCACGGCUUGUGUGGAGCGACCACGACAAGCAUAUAACAGGCUACGCGAGCACGAUCCAAUCCUCGUCAACUGAGGAUACCCUACCAACUAGGGUUGUCAUCAUCAUGGAAUCAAUGUAUUCCUAUACUCAGCAUCCUAGUGUUUCAACUACACUAAGGUUCUCAUAUGCCACUCGUCCUUGUGUUUACAUUUAACUAGAUGCCACUCGUUAUCAUUUAAGUGUUUUCAAUACACUACUUGUACCCAAAUCAUUAGGUUAUCAUUCACCUAGGGUUCAAUCCACUAUGUAUCAUCUCAUAUAGGGUUCUAAGCCAUAUCACAUCGACCUCAUGCAUACUAGGUUCAAGUGCUAAAUCAACAAGGCUACUCUACCACUAGUAUGCAAGUAUCUAAGCACCCUAUAUGUAUCAUGCUCAAUAUGCAAACCUGAUCAACAUUACACUUAGACAUAGGGAGUAGUUCAACUGCUUCGGGAUGGUCACCACCCACCUGUUGACGAUGUCGAAGCUCUAGGGAUGCUACUCGAGGAUUGCUACGACGCCGUCUCGGCCUCCUAAGUAGAAAUGAAGCUCAAUCGGCCCCUCUUUGCCGAUAUCUUUCUACCAACUCGACGAAUCGUCGAACUGACUUCGCCGAUGCGUUUAGACACCUAUCAAUUGGGUUUACAACCAACCAAAUGAGAUCAAAACCCAACAUUUCCCAAAAACCCCAAAUUGGAGCCCUAGAUUGCAAUUAAUGCAAUCUACUCUAAUAAAACCCUUGAUUCAUGCAAUUAGCAUCUACUCAGCACCAUUAGGUUCCAUCAAAACCAUUUCUAGAGUAUUUAAACCUAAACCCUAGAAAAUGCCAUUAGAGAGGUUGGAGCUUACCUCAAACACCUAGCUCCAAGCUUGAGAGGAAGAAGAAGAAGAUGAUCUCCUUGCUCCUAGCUUCAAUCUCCACCAAGUCUUCUCUCAUUUUCCACCUUCUAGAGAGAGAGGAAAAAUAGCUUAGAGAGGGAAAGAGGGAGAGAAAUAGGUUUUGGGUUAGGCAAAUGAGAGAAUAAGAGAGAGGAGUAGCCCCCAAGCAACUCUUAUAAUGCACAAUUGCUGAAAAUCCCCUCAACUUUCCAACUUUGUGACCGCCCAUCACUGGGCUUUUCGGGCUACGGGGACCGGUCCCUCUAAGGGAGGACCGGUCCCCGAGAGCAGUCACACAGGCUGAGCAUCAGCUCAACCCUUUGCACGCUUACGGGGACCGGUCCCCUCCCUGAGGGACCGGUCCCCGAGAGCAUUCACACAGGUUGAGCCUCAGCUUAGCCUCUUGCACGCUUACGGGGACCGGUCCCCUCCCUGAGGGAUCGGUCCCCGAGAGCAUCAAACCUGCAGUUUUUGCAGAUUUCGCACAGUUUGCUCUCGCGGGUCCUCCUCAAUGCACUUUUCGCAUUUUAAACAUCUUCGGACUUUCCGAAACACACCCAAUCGACAACCAGUCGAUUCCAAUCGAAGUCCAACUCUCGUAUUCCGAGAAUUCACUUCCUUACAAAAAGACUCUGCAACUAGGAUCCAUGAUUGCAAAUACUAUAGGCAUCUGAAUUUUGAGUUUUCAACGUUAAAGAAUGUGAUUUAUCAAUUCCAGGCAGUCGAUUGAGAUGCAAAAAUUGUAAACCUGAAUAUUAUCAGAUAGUUAAUCUGAAUAUCAACACACACACUUCUUCUAUCGAUGAAGGAAACACAGAAUUUAAGUUAUCUAUCUGUUCAAAUAGUCUCUUUUGAUUUAAUUAAUGAAGUAAUAAUAUCAACUUUUAAGCUAUGAUUUAGUACCAUGACAUCAGGAUUCAGUGAUUUGGCUUUUUAGGUGUGUUUGAUCUUUCUAAUUCAAAUCUGCUCAAAUUUCUGCUUUCUAUCAGUUGUUUUAAUUUGAAUUUGUUCUUCAUUUGCGUUUUAGAUAUUUGCCGGAUUGUCUCUCAAAUCUCAGGAUUUAAUUUAGUUAGAGUACAUAUAUAUUGCAUAUUUAAUUAGUAAUUUGCUGAAAUUGAAGUUAGAAUUUUUUAUUAAAAUUUUGGAUUUUUACUCUAAUGCAGAUUAAGCCAGCGAGAAGAUGAAACCAUCUAUUGACCGAUCGCAAAGCUUCAAUUCCUUCAUUUUGUUUAGCAAGAAAUAUGUGAUUGGAGUAUAUUAAUAUUGUAUGUUUUGUUAUGAGACUAAAUUAUUUGUUUUUUGUUUACUAUAGAUGCAGAUCAAACUAAUUGAUGUGAAACUUUAAAUAGAUGUUAUUUUGUACUUGAUUUUGGCAACUAAUUAAUGAUGUAUGAUGUUUUACUUGUAUUUAAAUUUUUUUUGGUGAACAACUGUGUUAGAUAUUGUUAAUUUUUUUGAUUUAUUAUGGAUGUUGAAUGUAAUAGUCGAAAUUUUAUAAAGUUAUCUUUUAUUCUUUGUUUUUUUUACUAUAAUUAUUGUGCUUGAUAUCGUUUGUAUAUGUUAAUACAUGAAUUCCUAUCGAUCUAUAUACAAAAUACUUUUUUACUGGCACCUUUUUUUGUCGGGAUAUUUAAUUACGAAUUAUAAUUUUGUAUUUAUUGCCAGCAUUAUUAAGUGUCACUGAAAAUAGGAAUAGCCGGCAAUUUUGAGUGUCAGAAAAGAUAUUUUUUUCGGCAUUUAUGACUGCCGCUAUAACUUUGCUGGCAAAAAGAAUUGCCGCUGAAAAUAGGAACAGCCGGCAGGUUUGAGUGCCAGAAAAGAUUUUUUUUCGACAUUUAUGAGUGUCGCUAUAAAUUCUUAUAGGUGGCAAUUUAAAGUGCCGGUUUUUAAGCAUUUACUGGUAGUUGACAAGAAGUGCCGGCAAAAGAAUUGCCGACUGACUUUUAAUCGGCACUUUCGAGUGCCACAAAAGUGUGCCGGGAAAAACUUUUGCCGGCACUUCUUAUACCUUCUCCGGCACUUUAAAUUGCCCUUAAAAGGCCCUUUUGGUGUAGUUGCAUGAGGCCGUAAUCUAGUAAUUGCUGCUAAGUCUAAAGGAGUUGGAGUCAUAAUGCCAAAAGAAAAUUGAAGUGUGUUUUAACGCAAAGAUCAAAAGUAAAGGGGGCACUAAUUAAUCAAGAAGGGAUCCGCUGAAUUUUACAUAUAAAAAAGGGAAAGGAAUUCACAAGUGCACAAGAUUUUUCAUAGCCGAAAGUGCAAGCAAUGUAAGGAAGAAGUUAUAUGUCAUUUGUUGCAUGUGGUUUGUCAAAGUCAAAGUACGGUAUAAUGGAGAUAAAGUGACCAAAAUGAUAGUAUCAUAAGGCUCCAGUCAAAAGGAGUAAGAGUCAUAAUGCGAAAAGGAAGGUGAAGAGUACUUAAAGUUAAAAAUCGAAAGUAAAUUAAGGAGGCACCAAUCAAUCAAGAAAGGAUCAGUUAAAAUUUUACAUAUGAAAAAGAUAAAGGAUUUUAUAUAGGCCCAAGACUUUCCACCAAUCAACCUUUUCGGCUAUAACGGGCUGAUACCACUGCAGGUAUUGCUGGUUCGGCAGGAGCCGAGAGCAUAAAGGACAGCCUGCCGAAUCCUAGCAAGAGAAAUCAAGGGGAAGAGAAUGGAGAAAUAUAUUAGCACAAAAGAACUCAAAUAAAUGAAUCCUAGUGUGACGGAUCAAGGGUCGAAAUGAACAUACUAUAUAUAGCAAAAUACUUCUGGAAUAACGUCACUUUAACCGAUCUGGAACCGUUGAUGCAUUCAAAAGGAGAAGCUAUUCAAAGUGUUUGGGUGGUAGGAGGCGAUUUUCGACAAAAAAGUGUGUGGAGAGGAUAAUUUCUGACAACAUUUCUAGAAAAAGAAGAUCACAAGCCUGAGUUGUUGAGAGAAAAAGUAAAGGAUGGAAAUAAUCUUGAACUAAAUCCAUGCCUUUUAUUCAAACAAGGCCAAUUAAUGAGCAGUUACCACACGUCCUCGAUCAGUAUGGCAUGCAGUUGAGACGAAGAGUUGUGCGAGGCAUCUUGUUAGCUUCGUUUCAUCUGCCGAAAUCGACCCUAUCCCACUUUCAGCUAAUAGGUGGGGCAAUUGUUGGCACCAAAAUUCGAUCAUUGAAUCAGAAGAAGCUUAUAUGUAAUCUCCGCGGAUCAUUUCAAAGAGAUUAGUCUAAAUCUUGGGUGCGAAGCUCCAACCAAUGGAUGAAGAAAAAAUGAGUCAUCUCGGUCAUUCGGUAGCAACCAUCUUGGAGAUUUCGGCAUUCGAUCGGGGAUUUCGUGAUUCAAGUGCAACAUAUUAAUUUCAAUGGAGAGUGAGCUAUAAAUAGCAUAGAUGCGAAGGCUUGAGAACGAUUUUCACUAAUAACUCAAUAAACAAAAUUCCUUUUUUGGAUGAAUUUCGUCCUCAGUAAUUUUUUUUUAGUUGAAGGGCCGGUAAUUUAGUAGUUUUUCAUUUUCUAGCCGAGCUAAAACAGGUUCGUAAUGAUAGUAGCAGCAGGUUUCUUUUUCCGAGUAUUUAGACCAUUUUACAAUCUCAUGAUUCUAAUGUCCUUUGUUCCAAGCUGAACGACACUCUGAUUUUUACCAUCCGAGUUAGGUCAGUUCCCAAGAGCCGAAUAUAUAUAUAAUCUGUACACUAGAUAUAUAGGUCAAAGUCUCCAGCGGAGAACAUAGGGCGAAAAGCUUGUAGUUCUGAGUUUUAUAAUUUCCAUUGUAAUAUCAAUAAAACUAGAUUUCUUUUCCACUUUUUCGGCAAACACAACUCAAAUAAGACAAAUUGAACCAAAAUAAAAAAAUACACAUAUUGUUAUGCAUAUUACGUUCCUUUGUACAUUCAUUUUCUAUACUUUAAUUGUUAGAACUAAAACCAAAAAUAUCUAGUUCGUCGGGUGUGAAAAUACUAAAAGAUAAUCGAGAUGAGAGAAGAAAAAUAAAGCAUACAAUAUUUACGUGGUUCGGCCACCGGCCUUUGUCCACGGGCGAAAAUGGAGUGGAGAUCUUCAUUAUAAUCAAAGUGGUGUAGAAAAUAUGACUCUCUCACAAAACCCUAAUCCCAAAAUACACACAUACUCUCUCUUUCAUCUGCGCCACGAAAUCAAUGGAAUAAAGAGUACAUUUAUAAUAGUGGCUAAAUCUUAAUACGAUUAGGAAUACAAAUGCAGUAAGACUAGGAAUAUCUUAAUUAGAUUAGGUAUAAUGUAAACUUAACUUAAUGAGAUAAUCAAACUAUAAUAGGGUUAGAAAACCUUGCGGUUUCAAAAUUCGAGACAUAUCUAACCAUCUCCACCUUGGCUUGAAUUCUCUGUCUUCUCCAUCAAAAUUCCAAAAGCUAAUGAAAUGCUAUUGUACAUGCAAAUAAGUUUACGGAAUACUUGAACUUGAUCGCCUAAAAACUUAAUGAUCAAAUUCGCUGGAUUCUCUGAAGUGUCAAUCUUCUCAUUCUCCAACUACGCCUUUUUGCAAACUCUGUUGCAUCAGAACGAUAACUUGUUAUAGAGCGAAACUUUUGGAGCAAUCAAACUUCUUGAUCUCAAACUUCGUUGAUGCCUUAAACACCCAAACGAACAAUCCGGCUCUGAUACCAGUUUGUUAGAACAAAGGUGGAAGAGAUCUAGUUCGUCAGAUGUGAAAAUACCAAAAGAGAUCAGAGAAAGACAGAAGAAAAAUAAAGUACACAAUAUUUACGUGGUUCGACCACUGGCCUACAUUCUCGGGCGAAGACGGAGCCGAGACUUCCAUUAUAAUCAAAGUAGUGUACAAAAUAUGCCUCUCUCGCAAAAUCCUAAUCCCAAAAAUACACCCAUACUCUCUCUCUCUCAUCUUCCGCACCAAAUAAAUAGAAUGAAGGGUAUAUAGUGAUUAAAUUAUAAUAUGAAUAGGAAUACAAAUCCACUAAGAUUAGGAAUAUCUUAAUUAGAUUAGGCAUAAUCUAAACUUAACUUAAUGGGAUAAUCAAAACAUAAUAGGGUUAGAAAACUUUGCGGUUCUAGAAUUCGAAACAUAUCUAAUAAUCUCUACCUUGGAUUGAAUUCUCUGUCUUCUCCACCAAAAUUCCAAAAUCUCCUGAAGUGCUACUGCACAUGCGAACAAAUUUAUACAAGUUUACGGAAUACUUGAACUUGAUGGCUUCAAAACUUAAUGAGCAAAUCCGCAUGAUUCUCUGAAGUGCCAAUCUUCUCAUUCUCUAACUACGCCUUUUGCAACCUCUGUUGUAUUAGAACGAUAACUUGUCGUAGAGUGAAACUGUUGGAGCGAUCAAACUUCUCGAUCUCAAACUUCGUCGAUGCCUUAAACACCCAAACAAAUAAUCCGGCUCUGAUACUAGUUUGUUAGAACUAAAACUGAAAAAUCUAGUUCGUCGGGUGCGAAAAUACCAAAAGAGAUCCGAAAAUGAGAAAAGAAAAAUAAGGCACACAAUAUUUAGGUGGUUCGGCCACCAGCCUACGUCCACGGGCAAAGACGGAGCGGAGAUCAUAUACGAUUAGGAAUACAAAUCCACUAAGGUUAGGAAUAUCUUAAUUAGAUUAGGCAUAAUCUAAACUUAACUUAAUAGGACAAUCAAAAGGAAAAACUUCAAAAACCCCCCCUGUGGUUUCGCACUUUUUCAUUUUAGUACCAUGUGGUUUAAAGUGUAUCGAGUUAGUACCGUGUCACACUUUCUCAUUUUAGUACCCUAUGGUUUCAAGUGUAUCAAGUUAGUACUCUGUUGUUUUAUUUUUAUAUCAAGUUAGUACUAUGUGGUUUUAUUUUUGUAUCAAGUUAGUACCCUGUGAUUUUAUUUUUCUCCGAAUGAAAUAUUAAACCACAGGGUACUAAAGUGAGAAAGUGUGAAACCACAGGGUACUAACUUGAUACACUUUAAGUCACAGGGUACUAAAGUGAGAAAGUGCGAAACCACAGGAUACUAAUUUGAUACACUUUAAACCACAGAGUACUAAAGUGAGAAAAGUAAAACCACAAGGGGGGUUUUUGAAGUUCUUCCUAAUCAAAAUAGAAUAGAGUUAGAAAACCUUACGGUUCUAGAAUUCGAGAUAUAUCUAACAUUAAUUUUUUAUUGACCAGCCCAUUUUUCGUUUUUAUUAAUGAGACAACAUUCAAUAGCAGCUAGAAACAUUGAUGAUUUUAUGGAAGCAAAUAUCAAAUAUUCUUUUUAAUCAAAAAAUCGUGGGUGCAAUCUCACAUAUAUGUGUUAUUCGAUUAAAAUGUGCAUACAUUAUCGAAUUUGGAUUGAGAAAAAAUGGCUAUUCAUUAAGUAAGAUGAUCACUUGGAUUCUUACAUAAAACAAAAUAAAGCAGUUAAAUUUGAUAAAGUUCAUUUAGGUCCUGUAUGUUUGGGUGCCUGAAUAUCAUAUCCGACAUAUUUACUUUUUUAGAGAGAAAAGUAGCAUGCUACCCAUUUUGUUUAUUUCUUUUAGAAAUAAAUUUAGUUGAAAAUGUGAAUCAAUUAGGAUUCCAAUUAGAAAUCUCAGGUACCAGCCACCAAACCUUUUGCUACUUGUGCCAGGAACAGUCAAUCUCAAGAAGCUAUUAGUACUUCGUAGAUGAGGAGUGUGAUCGAAUGCCUAAAAUGAAUACUGUAAUCUAACUUCAAGUUAUCUUUUCAAAUUAAAUAAGAUCACCUCAUUAAUAAAAUACACUAUCCUACCGAAUCAUAAAUAUCAAGGUUUUUUUUUUAGAGCAAAAUAAAAUUCCUUACUCCCAAUCACACAAAAAAGUUUUAUGUCAAAUAAGUUUUACUUGGAUAACUUACUCCCGCAUUCAAGUGGUUCCAAUUCUAGCUACAACAUGGUCUAAUAUGGUUCGGUCAGCACAUGAUCAUAAAUUCAAAAAUUUUGAUUCAUUUAAAUUUUUUUGCUUAAAACUGAAACAAAUUGAUUAAAUACUCAACAUCACACAUAUAUACUGUGGGCACCUACAAGUUGGAAUAUAUAUAGUAGUGCACAUUAAUUCGCACUGCUAAAUUCAAAUUAAUUACCAGAGCAACCCAACAUACAACUGGUUGUGCCCAUCACUCUGUGUUUCAUCUGGGCUCUGCGCGCGUGAGACAGGUUUUAUUUAAUAUCCAUGGCUGGUUUAGGUACGGAUAAAUUCAACAACUGUAUAUAUCAGUUCUCUUUUUUUUUUUCUUUUGUUUCUCUUGAAAAAAUUUAUUUGACCUGUAAUAAUUGUUAUCUAAAAAAUUUUAGACUCAAAACUAAAGUACAGGUUUCAUGCUGUCACUGCAUAUGCAAGUGCCAAUUUCUCGGAUAUUCGUAUAUAGAUGCUUUACAAAAGAGAUUAUGAGGGCAAAUUGCACCACUAUCCCUUCUUUUUUUUUUUUAUUCUUAUUACUAAAUGUGGCGCCACUAGUCCCUGACCUUUGGCUAUGUUCCAUUUUGGUACUCAAAUUUUUUUAAGUUUGAUAUUUAGCAUUCUAAACUUUUAAAAGUGGUUAAUUUUAGCACCUAUCCAUGUUUACUAUUAGAGCAAAAUUAUUCCCCACAUUCUUAUGUAGCAAUCUUAUGGCAUCCAUUGAGUUAACUUUUCUUAUACCUAUUUAGAAAUUAUACCGUUAAAUUAAAAGUAUUAGAUGAAUGUACAUGUACGUGACAGAUGUAGGAAUGAUGAAUUUGUGGUGUACUCGCGCGAAAGUGAAGCAGGCGCAUUCAAUUUCUUUUCGUCUAACUAAUAAAUGUUUAGGAAUUGAAGUGAAAUAAUUUUAAAAGUUUAGAACAUUAAAUUUCAAAAUUAAAAAGUUUGUGGAGCAAAUAAAAUCAGACUAAAUGCUCAAGGACUAGUACUGCAAUGUACCCAACAUACAUAAUAACUCAAAAUAUCUAUAUUCUAGUAAGAUAUAUAGUUCACAAUUGUUAUAAAACAAUAUACUAUAUAUAUAUAUCAUACAUAGGCUAGAAAUUAUAAAACUAAUACUGUGGGUGAUUAUUGCAAUGUAGAUUAUACUAGCUCUUGCAAAUCGAGACGGUGCUUAACGGGUAACACGAUGAUUAUUAGUUCGAUCAUUCUCGAUGAUCGAUGGAGAGACAAUGAGACAAUUAAAUAAACCAUGGGUUCUAGUUAAAUAUUUGAGAAAUUAAUAAAUGUGUGACUUCUGUGAAGCUCCUUUGCUUUAGAAAUUGUGUUAAUACAGCCUAAGCUCGUGUGCAGAUUAAUCUGAGUGUCAGAGCUUAUGUAUAUAGUUUUAGUUUGGAGCUGGAAAAUUCUCCUGGAACCAUAUGAUAGGUAACAUGCAUAUUUAUUCUUCCUGCUGAACUGCUGAUCUCAUUUCAUGCCACUUUCCUCAAGGGCUUCCAUGCACGUGGCCAUAGUGUCUUUAGAUCUACAUAAAAACAGAUAAUAAUAUUUUUAAUUAGGCGCGUUUCUUAAAGUUAUUGAUCUAUAUUAAUCUGUGAAUUGAUUCGUUGUUCAGUUGCUAGCACAGUUGGAAGAAAUGUUCUGCUAGCUUUUUCCAUAGUUGUACACAUACCGAUCAUGAUUUCUUUUUUCUUUUCUUUUUUUGAGUGUUAUAAUCUUAGGCAUUCAAUAAGAACUGUACAUACGCAUUAACAAAGGAUUCAUUGUCAUAAAAACAUUAUUACUAGUAACUUAAGUUUUCUGGUUGAGAGUCAGCUCCUGUGCAGUAGCAAUAUUAUGGCACUCCCAUUACGUAGACAUGAAAUGAAAUGCAUCUAAUUAUCUAUUAAUGCUUAUGUGAAAUGAAAUGAUUAUAAAUUCUGACAAAGACAAAAUGACCGUGUGGAGCCCCGGGAGUCAUUCAUGAAUGAGAUCCCCCUCUUAAAAGCCCAAUCUGAAGUUAAAAGUAAAAAAUAUCCAAAGAUAUUGAGUGAUAUCUUCUAGGAAGUACUUUGAACAAUAAUAUAUUAAUAUAAGAGAAAUGCUAAGUGGGUGUUUUGCAUAGCUUGGGAAAUUCCGGCCAAAAAUAAAUUUUCUUCUAACUGAGCAUUUGCUAACUUUUAUUUAAAAAUGUAGCUCUAAUUUUUAGUAUUAGUUUUCUAAUAUUAGAGAUCCAAAAUCAGAAUCAGUUAGAACAAAUUUUCUAAAAUCUGAAUCGUUUUUUUUUUACUCAAACUUUAAAUUUUAAUUUUAACUUUAGAUUCAAAUUUUAAAUUUAAGUUUAAAUUUUAAAAUUUAACAUUUAAAACAUAAAAUUAUAAAUUUAAAAUUAUAAAUUUUAUAUUUUUGUUUUAAAUUUUAAAUUUUAAAUUCAAGAUAAAAUUUUAAUAUUGAAAUUUUAAAAAUUCAAAUUUCAAAUUUUUAAAUUUCAAUUGUAAGUUUUAAUUUUUGAAUUUAAAUUUUAAAUUUAAAUUUCAUGUUUAAAAAUUUUAAUUUUAUAUUUUAAGAUUCAAAUUUAAUUUUAAAUUUAAAUUUAAAAAGUGUGAAUUUUGAAUUUUAAAUUAUAUUUUAAAAUUUUUAAAUUUCAAAAAUAUUAAUUUUAAAUUAUAAAAUUUAAAUUCAAAUAUCAAAUGUCAUAUUUUAAAUUUUAAAUUUAGAUUUUAAAUUCGAAUACCAAAUUUAAAAUUUAAAAUUUAAAUUUAAUUUUAAAUUUAAAUUUUAAUUUCGUGCCUUUUUUUUUGAGAGAGAUUUCGUGCCUUGCUUUCCAAAAUAAUAAAAUUUAGUAGAACAGUUUAUUAUUUGGAAAAAAUAAAAAAAAAUUUACUAAAUAGUUUUACAAAAUUAUUUCAGAAAAUUUGCUUUUUAUCUAGUCUUAGCCAAAAACUCUAUAACUUUUAACCAAAAUCAAUUCUCGAACGCAAAAUCAAUUCUACAAAAAUUAAUUCUGCAAAAAUUUUUUCUCCAAAAAUUAGGCUAAAUGGACCCUAAUUAAUAAGUCUACAACCUUAGGAUUUACAAUCUUUACAACUCCCAAUGGACCACAAAAGUUCAUCCAAUUCUUUUAUUUUAAUUAUGUAAAACAACAAAAAAUGAUGAAACCUAAAAUGGGUUGCAUGGGUAAAAUGGGUAGCAGGACUCUUAACUAGUAUAAUCAUUUUUAUUAGAAAAAUUGGUCAAAGACUCCUUAUUUAAUUAAGUUGUACCACUUUAUAACUUGAAGCAGAUUUUCUGAACUUUUAAUUAUAUAUAUAUAUAUAUAUAUAUAUAUAAAGUCAUAAAGCUUCCAAAUGCUUUAAGAAAAAUUAAUUUUUCUAUUCUAAUGCAUGGAAAAGAUAAUAAAAAUCAAAGAUAGUUAACUGUAUAUAUUCUCAAUUUUCAUACUUAAUUAUUAGAACUAGAAAGAAGAAUUAGAUUUCUUUGUACUUUGUAGUUAUGGAAAAUAAUGUGCAAGAGAUGCGACAAAAAUUACUGUUUCAUUAGUAACUUUUGGUGAGGAAAUGAUAUUAUUAACUAUUUGAUAAAGUUUAAUUCAAAAGCCUACUUGCCAAAAACAAAAGUUCAACAGUUUAUUUGCAAAGUUCCUAAAGUUUGAGGGGCCUUUGUACUUCUUUUAUGAAAACAUGUUAGAACAAAUACUGCACAGAAAUUUGAUUGUGAUUAAAAUUCUAACUAAUUUUAUAAUAAAGAUAAAAUCAGACUUACCAAUAAACGCUAAAAUUCAAAUAAAAAUUUGAUUGAUCCGGAAGCGUGCAAGGCACUACCCUAAGACGUAUUUCCGUCCUUACGUGCGGGAUUAACUGAAAAUAACGCCCCAAGGUACGAUCGAAAUUCUUCCUCCUGCGAGAACGAUCGUGAAGAAGGUUGACGGAGACUCUUUCAACACCCGAUGAUAAAAAGAUCAAAUAAAAUAAAAUAAGAAUUUAGAAAACGUUUCUUCUUUUGUUCUUCCACUUAAUUGGCUCUCUCUCUCAGCCAUGUUCAUCAUAGAUGAACAGUGCACUCCAAUGUAUAUAAAAUGGAGAGAGAAUGGAACGUUGGAAUCCUAACGUUCCCAACAUUCCAUUUUAUUCAUGCCUUUAUGUGGCAUAAAGAAGAAAUAAAUUAAAUUUAAUCCAUCUAAUUAAUUAACAUAAUAAAAGACAAUAAAUGAGAAUAAUUAUAAAAUUAAAUGAUAUUUAAAGAUUUUGGAUUUUUCACCAACAAACAAAUCGAAUUUAUUGAGUCUGAUCAAAUUCCAAUACUCAAAAUAGUGAAUAGAAACAAUAAAUGUUAGUCAUUGUUGUAAAUUAACAUCACUAGAUAAUUUUCACACUCAUAGUCCGCAAACUUUUUAGUUUCAGCUUCAUUUGUCCUCAAAACAUUUGCGAUAGAAGAUCUGUUCUUCUAAUCAUUAUCUUAGAGAAAAACUAUUGCCUACGCUUACUACAUGUAUAUUCGUAUAUCGUAAAUUUAUUGCCGCUCAAGAAUCUUAUACUUUUAAUCCACUAACUAUGAAAUUUUUCAAAAAUAUUAUAAUACACAAAGAUAUAAGAUUGAAGUAUAUGAUAGGAUUAAUAAUUAAUAAAUAUGUGGCACAUAAGUGUAGAGCUACUAUACUAUCGAAAGUAUAAGAGAGUUGAUGCUUUUAACUUUUUAGUCCUUAAAUCAAAAAUUGUAAGGACAGAAGAAUAAUGGUCCUCAUAAGAUUGAGUCAUACCCCUUAAUAAAUAUGUGGCUCAUAAAUAUGUCGAUACAACAAAUAAUUAUAUAUUUAAUACUAAUGAAUGAGUAUUAGACCUACGAAAUAGACGGAGUCAUCCCCCUUAGGGCCCGUUUGGUUCGAAUUAUGUAAUAUUACAAAGUAAUUCGACAUAUCCAGGUAUCUUGGAUUUCGGUGUGAGAUUACUAUUGAUGCUGCAUUAGCGCGUUUGGUUUAAUGUAGUAAUGUAUUACUAGAUUACAGUAUUUAUAGCAUUAAUACGUUUGGUUCAGUUUAUAAAAUUUAGUAAUCCUGAUAUAAAAGUAUAGUUUUUUUCAAAAUUGCCCUUGUUGUCAUCAUUUGAAUAUUAUUUUUUAUAGAAAUGACGAAUGGAGGGAAGGAGAUCGUGAUGAUUACCUGGGAGGACGACGCAAUAGAAGAUGAUAGGUGUUCGUGCGAGAGAGAGAAAGAGAGAGAGAGAGAGAGACGUCAGGAGAGAGAGAGAGCGAGAGAAAACGGCGUGCGAGAGAGAGGGGGGAAGGCGAGAGAUAGAUGAAAAUAAUGCUGUUAAUUAGAUUUGGAUUUGUUGGAGGGUAAAAUUGUCACUUUGCAUAAUAUGUAGUAUUAACGGGUUUCAGUAAUGCAAGAUACACGACCCCCAUCCCGUUAAUAUUUUCGAUGUAAUCUUGCUCGAUUUGUAAUGCUACAUUAACGACUAGAUUACAUAGCGAAUUAACCAAACACAGUUAUCCUGGCAUGAUUGUCUGUAAUCCUGCCAGGAUAACUCGAACCAAACGCACCCUAAUAAAUAUGUGGCUCAUAAAUAUGUCGAUACAACAAAUAAUUAUAUAUUUAAUACUAAUGAAUGAGUAUUAGACCUACGAAAUAGACGGAUUAGAUAACGGGCAGAUCAUUGUGCCAGCAGGUCAUAUGGAAAUAGAUAAAAUUUAUUUUUAAAUUUUUGGGUAGCAAACAUUCUUACCCAUACCUGCCCACGGGCCGGCGGGAGGAUAUGCAGGUUACCAGCAAUAUUUAUUUAUUUAAUUUAUUUAUUAUAAUUUAUUUAUUUUACUCCUAUAUUUUCACCCAUACAAAACAUAUACAUACAUAUAUAUAUAUAUAGUAUAUAUAUAUAUAUAUAUUAUAUAUAUAUAUAUAUAAUAUAUAUAUAUAUUAUUAUAUAUAUAUAUGUAUAUAAAUAGAGAGAGAGAAGAGAGAGAGAGAGAGAGAGCUUACUAUUGCUAUGGAAGGUCAACGAGCCUUCGUCUUCCUAGCUCGUUAUCGAUUGUUGCGACUCUCGAAUCGUCGAUCGAUUUCCGCGUUAAACUGAUCUAGAUAUUUAAAGUACCUAGAAAAUAAAAUUUUAUGAUUUUCAUGAUAUCAUGUCCUAGUGAAUGACGGCGGCUCAAAAAUCAACAGCAUGAAAAUAAAAACUCAUAAAAUGUAAUAAUAUGAUCAUUAAAAUUUUAAAUCAAAGAUAUUAUCUUGUUUAUAUAGUAUCAAAGAAUUUUCUAUUAAAAUUACACGUGAUUGGAUAUUUCUACACCGUAAACUUGCAAACGCUCACUACGGCUAUUGAAAUUUUAAUUCUUUGAGGUCCAUUCGAUCACUAGGCAAAUGAUAUCGAAAAAUAAUAAAAUAUUAUUUUCUAGUUUACUUCCAAAUACUAUAAUAAGUUUAACGAGCCUGAUGACAAUUAGAAACGCACAUCGAAAACGACUGGAAGUCACGGAAGCUCCGUGCUUCCGAUACAUAGUACCUCACUAUAUUUUAUAAUAAUAUAUAUAUUAAUACAUAUAUCUAAUAUACUAUUAUGUCGAGUUGAGCCUAGAAUACAUCGUAUAAACGAGCCGUUUACUACGAUUUUUUUUCGAUGAAGAAACUUCCAAAUUGACGAUCGGCUUCGUUAAAUAUAGACUCUAAAACCAUUUAAAACUACUAAAAUCAAUUUUACACGCACUUUCAUAAUUGUUCUUUAUCAAUCAAGUGAACAGAAAAAUGAAUGGAUGAAAAUAAUACAUUUAAAACCAUGAUGAUAGGAAGUUUGGUAAUGGAAACAACAGUAUACGAUCUUUGUUUUAAAUAGUUUAAGAGAUUUUCUAACAAAAAUUCAAAUGAUUUUGGACUAUCUUUAUCCGUUAAAGAGAAACUCAUCUAUCGACCAUUCGAUUAUAAUUUGGAAAACCCUUGAUCAUUAGGGCAUAAUAAAUGUCGAAAAGAAUUUGAAAUUGAAUUUCUAAACACUUCAAGUGUAUAGAUCAUGUCAACCAAAGCCAAUCGUCAAUUUGAAGUAUUAUCAUACGAAAACAAAUACGAAUAGUAAAUACGCUCGUUACUAACCGAUAUACUAUAUAUAUAUAUAUAUUAAUAAUAUAUAUAUAUAUAUAAUAAUAUAAUAUAUAAUAUAAUAUAUAUAUAACUUAUUGUUUGAAACAUCGUAAUAUAUAAAAAUAAUAUAAAUAUUAAAGCGCAUAAAUUAUAUAAUAUAAAAAUAUUUUAUCAUCCCAAAUUUUAAGAUACAAAAAUAAUAAAAUUUUCAUGAUUAUUGGCUCAAUUUGUAAAACGUAUAUAUUCUUUAAUUAAAAAAUAUAUCCGGGUGUCCGUAGGUAUCCGCAGAUUGCCUAAAAUAUUCGCAACUUAAUGAGUAGUCACUUAUUUUAUCCAUAAUUCUUUUAGUAACAAUAACUAGUACUGAUACUGGCAAAUAUGGAAAUACCUUAAAUGGGCACUUGUGGGUACGGAUAAAGAUUGUUAGGUCUAGUAAGUAUAAGGAGUAAAUUGACGAACAAAUGAAGUAAAACUUGGUGCAAUUAAUCCAAUAAAGAUAUUUGGCCAAUUUCCACUAGUUUUGGGCUUUUGUAAAACCGGGCGAUCUUUUUCGUUUUUGCAGAUUCGGUCCGCUUUUUCAGCCACCUACCAAAAUGCUCUUAUUACUUUUUCUCUCUCCUCUUUCUCUCCCCUCUUUUUGUUUUCUCUCAUUCAUUUUUUUUUUCUCUCCCCGAAGAGGCAGCAGAGGCAGAGGCGGAAGCGGAAACAGCCCGUCUCACCUCUCACCCUCAUGCUCUCGCCCUCGCCCUCGCCCUCACCCUCACCAUCGCACCCCUAACUUCCUCACCUCCGACCCCACCGAGGCCGUGCAGCAACUCUUUUUUUUUUCCUCUCCGACUCUUCUUCACCAUCUCCAAUGACGACGCCUCUCUCGCCCUUUCCCGCCCUUCUCGUCCUCUCCCUCUCCCCCCUCCUCUGCCGCCUUCGACGACGAUGCAUCUUCGCCGACACCGAGACCGUAGAGGUCGCUGCAGCAUUGCAGCCUCGGAGCAGGGAUUCUUAGCGGCAUUGUUGCCGGCGCUGCAGAGACGGGUGACAAAAAAAAAUAUAGAAGAAGCAAAAAAAAAAGCCAUUUUGAAAACAGAGUUACGGAAAACGUGCCAUUUUUUUUUUUUUUCAACCUGGCCCACGUGACGUACAGACCCGCCACAAAUACAAAGUUCCUCUGUCCACUCGGACAGAGUCUCCUUUGUAUUUGCACGGCUUACCAACGAUACAACAGGAUCACAACUACAACCUACAAUUACCAAUCAACAACCAAAAUAAUAUGCAUUUUCAUACAGCUAACAAUCCUUAGAGAUGAUGCAUGCCUCUAGGCACUCCUUAGGCGCUGGAUGAUGCAAUGCACAGUACAACAAUCAUCCUAUUUAAAAGUGCUCCCCACACGGAAGCUUUUGUUUUUAAACUCUAAUUCAUUCAUUCAUAAAAACCAUUCGAAAACCUUUUUAAAACUGUUUCCCACACGGAAACUCUAUUUUGAAAACCAGCUACCUCGAGGGGUAGAAAUCCACAAAGCGUAUAAAUCCAAUCUGAAACCAAGGAUCCAAAACCACAUAUCUGAAAACUCCAAUCUCAUGUAUAAUAAAACAUCCAUAAUCUCAUGCAUACGAGGAAAACCAACUCAUUCAAACAAUCAUAAGAUCAUCUAAUCAUGCAUAACGGAAAUCACAACAUUCAAACAUCUAACUGAACCAUUUAUUUAAAUGACUACUAAAGGCGGGAAAGAAAUACAACCAGGGUGGCGAUCGCUAUACCAGACUAGCUAGAUCGUCCUCUCGUCGAGCCCAAAAUCCAACUCCUCGUCUAUGUCACCUGGGGGGGAAAUGGGGGGUGAGAAACCGCAACCAUGGUUUUCUCAGUGGGUACGACAGAGCCACGAAGGCAAGCCGUAAUCACCGGAAACCAAAGGAGAUAGAUAAACAAACAUAGAUACUGAUAUAUGAAAACGAACUACAGUAGCUACAACAGAUAAAUAAGAAGCAAUAAACAAACCUGCUACUGUAUAGAUAACAAUGCAAAGAAUGCCUCAAAGUACUGAAUAGAAACUGUACCCAAUCUGUGCCUGCUGUAUUGGUCCGCAGACCUCAAGCGCUGCCUGUCACUAACUGCACCGACCUGAUCCAUCCGCCCCGCAGGACGACCUAUCCGGAUAAGUACACCUCCGAUCGGUGGCCAAACCGAUCCGGUGUCAUGAAUACCCCCAAGUGCCGUGACUAAGUCAUGCUGGUAUGCUCAAACAAAAACAAACCCGGCUAAAGCCGGUGCCUAGGCCGAAGCCAACAACGAGGGCGUACAAUGCCAAACUGAAAUAGAAGCUAGGGCGUACAACGCCGAACCUCGAUCAACCAGAUCGAAACACACGACAAGAGAGUCGAUGUGUUGCCUGGACCCAAGGUCCACAGAGAUACUGAAAUACAAAUGCAACCUGCUCUACAUGUCUAUCAAUCACUAACCAAUGCAGUCAACGAAAUACGAUAACCAAACGAUAACCAAACAACUGACAUGUAGAGCUAAUAUACUGGAAUAGAAAAACAGGAGAAGGAGGUGAAACGCUCUCACCGACUACCAGCUCGAAGCACCCACCUGUCACUGUCGCGUCGGAACACUGGGUACGCACAAGUCGACCGGACCUACGAAGAUCCAACGGGUCAGUAACCAACCCACUCACCUGAAGUACACUAUCUCACAAACCCCCACACAGAUCCUCGAAUCGGUUUCCCAAAACCGAUCAUCGUAACUCACCGGAAGUCCCGAAAACCACACUGGGACGUCAUCGGGACCCACUAAGUAUCUCGAACUCACCGCCUCGUGCCACGAGUCACCCGCUGCCCCAAAGCACUCCAAUUUGGAUGCCUUGGCAGCGAACACGAGGUAACACAACCAUACGAUCAUUGCCAGAUAAUCGUACGAAUCCGGGUUCCCGGAAGUGUCUAUUUCGACACCGGAACACACCGUCGCUCACCCAUCAUCAUCGAACCCACAAAAUGAUGAUGGUGACCAGCCAACAAGGCUCAGCGACAAAACACGAAGCAACCAAACACCGUCGGAAAGAAUCCGAACUGAACCCGCGUUCUUUCGGCGAAUUUCGCCGAAAAACGCACCGAAAUCGACCUACCGAUUUUCGCGAAAGCUAACGGACUAUGGACAAUCAGUCCAGUGGUCAAACACACUUACACACGCUGCCCACAGUAGCCACACAAAGCACAACUGCAUAAAAGACCCUCUAAUUACAUAAAAUCUCAUCAUUUUAUGUAAUUUGAGCGAUCAAGCUGCUUGUUCACGUAAACCGAGGACUUCCGAAGUACGCAGAGACACGUACUGACAGGUCUCGACGUACCGGAGUCCGUGCUCACGAUCCGGAGCACAGCGGCUCGCUGUGGGAAGCGCGGGAGCAACCCGAAGGUUCAGCGAAUAGCGCGCAGUCAGGGAAGAUCGCGCCGAACAGAACUAACCGGACACUGUUGAUCCAAAGUGAGGUGAGCACUGUGAUCAGCACUGACCAACGAUCACCGUGCUCACCUCCGGAGGCAUCAGGACAGCCUCGGAUCGCCGGAUAAGCGUGCGCAAACCCAAAACAGCAGCCAAACAGGCUGAAACGGAGCGACAACGCCAAAACAGUGGAACGGAGUCUCCCCGACAGAAACUAAGGUGAGCACGAUGAUCAGCAACUUGCCAGGAUCAUCGUGCUCCCUUCCGUACAGAUCGGGGAGGCUCGGGAAGCCCAGAACGAGAAACCCACUCAAUAAGCUCCAUUUCGGGCUUGGCCGGAGCAACCUUGCUCCGGCCGGCCUCCGGCGGCACGACGGCGUGCGCGGGGCCCUGAGUCGGGUGAGGGGGAGGUGAGGAACACCGUGCUCACCUCAGGUGGCGGCUGGAAGCGGCGGCGGCGGCGGCGGAGCAAACCGAGCCCGCACGAGAUCGAGCUCGGGUUCCAGGAGUUGCUGCGGCCACGGCGGCGGCCGGGGAGCUCCGGGACGGCGGAGGCGGGCUACAGGAGGUCGGGGGAGUUACCCCGGGGUGGCCCAAGGUGGCGGCGGCGCUGGGAAGAGGUCGCACAUGAGAUCGGCCUGGGCUCGGGCUGGGGUGGCCGCGGCUGGCCGAGGCGGCGACGGCGGCGCGCCGGGGCGGCGGCGACCGGCAGGAAGGGGCGCCCGGGCACGGAGGGUGUCGGCGGGAGGGAUUCCAGGCGGCGGCGGCGCAGGAGGGAGGUCGCAAAGUGGUCUCGGCCAGGGCUCGGCCUGGGCUGGCAGAUGCGGCCCGGGGUGGCAGCGGCGGCGCAGGCGACGGCGGCGGUCGGCGGGGAUGAUCGCCGGAGCACGGGGCGACACCGAGGGAGGGUCCGAAGGUGGCGGCAGUCUCGGGUCUCCUCACAACCCGAGAGGAGAGAGGGAGAGAGAAAGAGAGGGAGAGAGAGAGAAGUGGUGGCUGCGGCGGCGGUUGGCCGGCCGGGGCUCAGUCGGCGGCGGCCUGGGCGCGCGCAGCAGGUGCAGGGGAAGGAGAGGGAGGCGUCUGGGUGGUUGGCUAGGGCUAGGUUAGGGUUAGGUGAAACAAAACCCUAAAGAGCAACUAUAUACGGGGAGCAACAAAGCGAGAAAGCCCCUCAAACAUCGGAAUUUCAAUCCGAGUCCCUCACAGUACGACUAAAACGCAUGAACGCCCCUCCACGUGCGAUCCCUCGCGAAACGGUACAUAAAAUAUCGCGACUUUUGCGAAAAUACCGUUUUGCCACUACCGACCUCUCCUCGAUCAACGCGCGAUCUCCGCAGAUUCGUCCGUCAGAUUUGCGAACGGAUUGCACCAGUGCGAUCAGCACGACGGAGACAACAAAGCUGCAAUUUCGUUUCGUCUUGAUCGACCACGGAUUCACGACAAAAUCCAACCUUCUUCGAAUAGAAGGAAACACACACAUAAAUACAUAUAAAACAUGUAUUUUUGGAUUUUCUCGAAAUCCGUGCGUCAAACUCAAAAUUCGUUAGCGUCAUUGGUUCCAGAACAGCUGACCCGAUCGAAACGAGCUAUUGGACUGCUAUAAACAGAGUCCGGUACGAGUCAGAAGCCAACUUCUCACCGUGGCUUCUCCGGAAAAUCGAGUUACUAUUCACUUUAAGUGAAACUUGGAAAUCGCGUAGAAUUUCCGUUUUAACUCGUUUUCGCCCGAAACUUGACGAGUGCUUUUGUAAUUAAAUUACACACAGAAACAUCGUCAACUGAGAGUUUAGCUACACUGCAAAAAUAUCAGUCCUUACAGUUUUACAAGAACGUUGUACUAUUAAGAUGUAAACUGCAGCUUUAAGAUGAAAAUUGCACUCUUUAAACGAAAAUUACACUCUUUGGGAGAUAUUUAUACUGUUUCUUCUCUUAUUGCACUUUUUUAGAUAUAAACUGUAUCCAUUAAGAUGAAAGUUAUAUUCUUUAAACGAAAGUUGCACUCUUUGAGAAAUAUUUAUACUGUUUCUUUUCUUCUUGCACUCUUUGAGAUGUAAAAUGCAUCCCUUUAAGAGAUAUUUUUACUGUUUUUACUCUUGUUAUACUGUUUUUCCUCUUGUUGCACUACUUUCCUCUUAUUACACUAUUUCUCUUCUUAAAGGGUGCAGUUUAAGAGGAAAAACAGUGUAAUAAGAGAAAAAAUAGUGCAACAAGAGGAGAAACAAUGCAACAAGAGGAGAAACAGUAUAAAUAUCUCUUAAAGGGGUGCAGUUCACAUCUCAAAGAGUGCAACAAGAGGAGAAACCGUGUAAAUAUCUCUCAAAGAGUGUAACUUUCGUUUAAAGAGUGUAACUUUCAUCUUAAUGUAUGCAGUUUACAUCUUAAAGAGUGUAAUAAGAGGAGAAACAGUGUAAAUAUCUCUCAAAGAGUGUAAUUUUUAUUUAAAGAGUGUAAUUUCUAUCUUAAAGUUGUAGUUUGCAUCUUAAGUAGUACAACAUAUGUCCAUAAUAGUGCAAUAUUUUUUUAAAAUAGUAUAUAUUUUUUUCAACGGUGCAAUUUCAUCUUCAUCUUUCUUUUUCUAUAAUUUUUUUCUUUAUUUUUUUUUCUUGCUUCUUCUAUAAUUUUUUUUUUGUCACCCCUCUCUACCAACGGCCACUGCGUCGAUGAUGACGCCGCUAAGGACUCCCCACUCCGAGACUACAGCGCCGUAGCGACCUCCACGGUGUUGGCGUCGACGAAGAUGCGUCGUCGUCGGAGGCGACAGAGGAGGAGGGAGAGGGAGAGGAUAAGAAGGGCGGGGAAGGGCGAGAGAGACGUCGUUGUCGGAGACGGUGGAGGAGAGUCAGAGAGGAAAAAAAAAAAAGAAAAAAAAGAGUCACGGUGCAGCCUCGGUGGGGUCGGAGGCGAGGAAGGUGGGGGGUGCGAGGGCAAGGGCAAGGGCAAGGGCAAGGGCGAGGGCGAGAGCAUGAGGGUGAGAGGCGAGGCGGGCCAUUUCCGCCUCCGCCUCUGCCUCCGUUGCUUUCUUCGGCGAGAGGAAAAGAAAUGAACAAGGGAAAAGAAGAGGAGAGAGAAAGAGGAGAGGGAAAAAGUAAUAAGAAUAUUUUGGUCAGUUUGCUGAAAAAGCGGACUGAAUCUGCCAAAACGAAAAAGGUGGCCCGGUUUUACAAAAACUCAAAACUAGUGGAUUUUUUAUCCAAAUUGGCCAAGAUAUUUAGACUUUGUAGCUUAUAGUUAUUAAAAUGGUGGUCUAAUUAUAAAACAAGAAUAUAUGACUCAUCUGAGAUUCAAAACCAACCACACAAAAAGCUGUUAAUUGGCGCCAACCCCUCACUGAUCUCUUCAUCCUCACAUGAUCAAUCUUAGUCAACUCUAAAACUUUGACUUCCCUCGCAAUUCCCCCAAUGGAGGAGGCUAAUAAUCCCUUGUCUUAUCCAUCAUAUUAUCCUAUUCGCAAAACCCUGAUCCCAAGAUCCAGAACUAUCCCAUUCCCCCUCUCCCUCAGCUAAUUAUUCCCUUCACAUGCCCCUUCUAUUCCCCCACCCCCUCCUCCUAUUCGCAAUUCCCCGAAUGAUAUAGCAUGCGCCUGGUGUACUUGUACACCCCAUUAUACUAUGCCUCUUAAAUUGUGCCUCUUGAAUCUCACUACUAUGGCCUCGAAUUUAUAACCUAAUAACUCAGUAAAUGCAUGUAUUCGAUAUUAUUCAAAAAAAAUAAACACUCAUUGAGGUACACUUGUGGGUACCAAAAUUAAUUUUGCAUACAAGAUGAACUUACUGUUUAUUACUUUGGCUGACAUUUUGUACAUAAAAAAUCUAAUCAUAUUUACUCUUUGGCUGACAUUUUAUACAUAAAAAAUAUAAUCAUAGUUACACCAUUUAUUUCUGUGACUAAACUUUAAAUACCACAAAUAUGAUUUCAUAUUUUCUCACUUUAGCAUUCUGUGGUUUAAAGUGUAUCAAUUUAGUACCAUAUGGUUUCAUUUCUCACUUUUUAUCGGCACUUUCAUUAAUUUUUUGUUAAAUCAUAUACAAAAGAUUUCAGAUAUCCCGUCUAUAGUUUAUCGAAUAUUCACUUUAGUACUCUUUAGUUUUAACUUUGCCACUGAUUUAACGAAAAAAUUAAUAGAGAGAAUAACAAAAAGAAAAAAAUAAAACUAUAGAGUACGGAAAUAAUACACUUUAAAUUAAAGUAUACUAAAAUGAGAAAGUGCGAAAGCACGUAGGCGGUAUUUGAAGUUUUUUCUAAUUUUUAUUUAUAGAUAUCAAGAAACAAAACUAAUAUUAUCAAAAUAAUAUAUAUUGUGGAAGAAAGGAAAAGAGUUUAAUAAAUGUAUUUUUGUUGACAACAUCAAAACUAGCAAGAGCAAUACCAACUCUCGUUUAAAAAUGAUUUGUCACGCCCCGGAUUACAUAUUUUCCGGGGCACGCCAACAGACCCGUCAUAUACAUAGAAAUUUUUCUUGUAUAUGAAACGAUAGCUGUACCUGUAAACAAAUUCAAGCUACAACCAUAAAGUAAAGAGUUGCUAAAUAGAAAAGUAAUAUAUAACCUCAAGGUUUCCAAUAUAUACAAAAUGUCUACUACACCACUCGCUCCAGCGAGUACCCAGACAAAAAGACCAUACGUACAAAAACCCCAAAACUACCUGUGGGAGGUACUUCUCUAGCACUGCAGCAAGACUGGAAGGGACUUAGCUCGCGACUCUUUUUCCACGAUCCAAAACAGCAACAGCAGCAGCCGAGGACGAAGGCUCUGCAAAAAAGGGGUCAACAACUAGGUACGAGAAAUACUGUAAGAAGGAGUAGUCCUCAGGGGGUGCUGCUACUAACCUCAACGGCUCACCCACUAAGUAUACAGAAAAAUAUGCACAAAGAUAGUAAAGAAAACUGAAAAAACUCUACAACUAUAUGCCACUAUACUAUCGCUACCCACUAUUCUGGAGAUAUAAGAAUGAUGCAACCUCUGACCCAAUCUCAUUAGGGACUGUGAACGCACCCGUCCCGCCUGUCGAAGCUACACCAACCACCACCACGCUGGGUAAUUGGUGAAGAGCAAGUCCAUACUGGACACUACGACAUCUACGCAAACGCACAAAGCCCGACUCCGGAGUGGCACUCAUGGGCGCUAUCCAACCGAGUAUGCAAGCGUGUCUCUGUUGAGCUCAAUUAGGCUCUCACAGACUAUAGUCAAAGAAAAUGGGUCUAACUGGUCUAAUAACCAAAACUUACGUGUGCUUGACACAAUCCGAUGCAAAAAUAGCAAACUGGAUCCACCGUCAACAGCGACGGCACCCGACAGUCCAGAACAGUCUAUACACUACUGUAAAAUAAAUUCGACAUCCCACCACGAGCGUAAACUUAUCAUACACUAAUCUGGAUAUCCACCGCAUACAAACUGCGACGAUUCAAACAAACUACAGUUCCUAAAGCUAAAUCUGAUAGUUUUAAGAAAAUGACAGUGUAGGAUCAUCUGUUUUCUCCUAAGUCAAUUUCAAGUCCAACAUGUAAAAUUAAACUGCUAGCUUAACUCUAAAUUCAGAUGUAAACACUAAUUCAUAAAUUUGAGUACUAGCAAGAAAAAUAGACGAAUGAUACAUGUCGACAAAUAUUAAAACUUAGAAGAUAUUCCGACAAUUUCGGUAAACUUCAACCCACCUCGAAACGCUCGUCCAACAACGGCGAGAAGUCGAAAGGAGAGGAAAACACGCGCUCGCCCAGCCUCCAACGACGCAACCGCGACGCACGCACGCUCGAACGGCCCUCCGGAUCGACGUCGAAAAUCUCGUGAGCUCGAGCUACGGCCUCCACCAAGCCUACGAUUAAACCAAAGAGAGAGAGGAACUUGAGAUAAUUAAUUAUCUCAGGUGGAUAUAUAUGAAGGAGUAGGUGGUGUGGAUAACCACCAGCAAAUGAUAAUACUACCCCCCACCAACUCCAAAUCACAGCUGGAGUACCGGUAUCCGAUUUGGUUACCGGUACUCGGCCUCUCAACCCGUAAGCUCGCGCACAGGGUACCGGUACUAGCCCGAUGUCGUACCGGUACUCAGCAUCAAAUUGGCACAAUCCAAGGGCAUCAGUUCUGAAAAUACACUGGUGUACCGGUACUCCCCUGUAUGGUACCGGUAUUCAACACUGAAAUCCUAUACUUUAUGGAUUUUAGCAUCAGAACUCCACUCUCGUCUUGCGUCGAGUCCGUUUUGCAUCCAUUUCGCGCCAAAACGACUCCGACUUGUCCCGACACUCUCCAGAUGUGUCGACAAGCCUCAGAUGCUGAAAUCUCAUGGCAACUAAAUACCAGGGAUACUACAUGAUUAAAUUACAACUAUGGCAUAAUCUUUGAUAUUAAAAUAUGAAAAAUGCUUCUUAUACAUUCAAAUUAAAAAAUGAGCGUAGAUCUUACACCCUCUAUUACAUGGUUGAUAAAAGUUUUUAAUAAAAAUAAAGAAUUUAUUGGGCAAGUUUGCAUAAAAAGUUCACAAAUUUUGAGUUUUUACAAAAUUGUACCACCUUUUUUUAAUUUUGUAAAUUCGAUCGGAAUUUUCAGCAGACUGACCAAAAUAUCCUUAUAUUUUUUUUUCUCCUUUUCUUUUCCCGCAUUCUUUUUUUUUUCUUUCCGAAGAAGGCGGCGUUGGCGGAGGCGGAAACGGCCCGCCUCACCUCUGCCCCUCGGGCCCACGUCCUCACCCGCGCACCCCUCUCCCUUCUGGCCUCCGAUCCCGAUGAUGACGCGCCGCAACCCUCUUUUUUUUUCUCUCCGACCCUUCCCCACCGCCUUCGCGGCCCUCUGCGACGAUACUGAGGAUGGUUCCGCAUCCUCUUCCUCCGCCUUCGCCUCCACCUCUACCCCCACUACAGCAGAUUUUCUACCCACCAAACAAACCCGCCGUCUCCAUCGUCACCUCCGGCGACGAAGAGAAAGUUUUCUCAGGGAUGAGAAGCAUGCUGGUGAGGCAUGAGGAGAAAAAAAGCUACACUUCGGCGAGGACGGUGGCUACAAUAGAGGGCAAGGAAGAGAUCAUGACCAAAAAAAUUAUAAAGAGAAAAAAAUAAGAAUAAAAAAUAAAAAAAAAAUAUUUUUUCUAUAGAAAAAUUCAAAAAUUAUAGAAGAAGAAAGAAAACGAUGAAAUUGUACUGUUAAAAUAAAGUUUAUUUUUUUUACACUGUAUUAAAUAAAAACUGCACUCUUUGAGACAAAUUAUACUAUUGGGAUGAGAGUUACACUCUUUAGGCGAAAGUUGCACUCUUUGGGUGAAAUUUAUACCAUUUUUCUUUCUGUUUUUCUUCCUCCUCCUCCUUUCCCUCCGGUGCCUCCUCUUCCUCCUCGUCCACAGCCUUUGAUCAGCAACAACAACAGAAGCGGUAGCGCAUCUGUGACCUCCUCGCUGAACUCAAGGCCGAGCACCGCGCCUGUCGCUCCGCCCAGGACGCUUGUGUUGACUCCGAGUCUCGCCUCCACCGUCUCAAGGCCUUCGCCCAGGACAUCAUCAAGAAGUGCGACGAUGCCCUCUGCUCCGCCGCCGCCGCCAAGGAGCUCGACGACGCCACCGCGAAGCUCGCCGAGGCCUCCGUCGGCGGCUACACCCUCGAGUCCGAGAUCUCUACCGCCUCCUAGAUGAUUGAUAUAAUUAUUUGCUUAAUUUAAAUCAUUUUAAAGUAAAUAUUGAUUAAAAUUUAAACCAAUUUGAUACUAAUCUUGUGCUCGACUAUAUAUGCAUCAUCAUGGACUGCAGAAUACUUGCUCAACUAUACCCAGCCAUAAUAAUACUAUAAAUAAGCUACCAGCAAGGAAGCAACCAUCGUCCUAGGCGAAGGCCUUGAGGUGGCGGAGGCAGGAGUCGGAGUUGGCACAGGUAUCCUCGAAGGAGUGGUGGGCGCGGCGCUUGGCCUCGAGUUUGGCGAGGAGGUUCCGAAUGCAUUGCUGCUGCUGUUGCUAAUCAGAGGCUGCGGAGGAGGAGGAAUAGGAGGCGGUAGAGUGGAAGGAGGAGGAGGAAGAAGAAGAGAAAGAAAAAUAAUGUAAAUUUCACCCAAGAGUCAACUUUUGCCUAGCUAAGAGUGUAACUCUCAUUCUAAAGAGUAUAAUUUCUCUUUCAAAGAGUGUAAUUUUUAGUCAAAACAAUACAAUUUUUUUUUAAAAUAGUGUAACUUUAUUUUAAUAGUGCAAUUUUAUUUUUUUCUUUCUUCUUUUAUAAUUUUUGGUCUUUCCUGUAGGAAAAAAAUAUUUUUUUAUUCUUAUUUUUCUCUGUCUAUAAUUUUUUUUACGUCACGACCUCUCCCUUGCUCUCUAUCGCAAUCACCACCCUUGCUGUAGUAUAACUAUUUUUUUCUCCCUUCCUCGUCGGCGUGCUUCUUAAACCCGAGAAGCACUUCCUCUUCCUUACUGGCGGCGGUGGUGGGGACGGGGGGUUUGUUCGGCGGAUAGAAAAUCUACUAUAGUGAAGGUGGAGGGCGAAGGUGGAGGAAGAGGAUGCGGUACUGUCUUCGCUAUAGUCGCGGAGGGCCGUGGAGGCAGUGGAGUGUAGGAUAGAAAAAAAAAAAAAAAANUGCAAUUUUAUCUUUUUCUUUCUUCUUUUAUAAUUUUUGGUCUUUCCUGUAGGAAAAAAAUAUUUUUUUAUUCUUAUUUUUCUCUGUCUAUAAUUUUUUUUACGUCACGACCUCUCCCUUGCUCUCUAUCGCAAUCACCACCCUUGCGGUAGUAUAACUAUUGUUUUCUCCCUUCCUCGUCGGCGUGCUUCUUAGCCUCGAGAAGCACUUCCUCUUCGCUACUGGCGGCGGUGGUGGGGACGGGGGGUUUGUUCGGCGGAUAGAAAAUCUACUGUAGUGGAGGUGGAGGGCGAAGGUGGAGGAAGAGGAUGCGGUAACGUCUUCGCUAUAGUCGCGGAGGGCCGUGGAGGUAGUGGAGGAGUGUAGGAUAGAAAAAAAAAAAAGAGGGUCACGGCGCGGCCUCGACGUGGUCAUAGGCGAGGAGGGAGGGGGGCGCGCGGGCAAGGGCAAGAGCGUGAGGGGCAGAGGCGAGGCAGGCUGUUUCCUCCUCCACCUUGGCCGCCUUCUUCGAAGGGAAAAAAAAAAAAGCAAGAAAAAAAAGGAGAGAGAAAAAAGUAUAAGGGUAUUUUGGUCAGUUUGUUGAAAAUUCAGACCGAAUCUACAAAAUAAAAAAAGACAGUCUAGUUUUAUAAAAAUUCAAAACUUGUGGACUUUUUAUGCAAAUUGGCCAAUUUAUUGUGACAAGUAAAGUGUUUAUGACCUUGAAAUAGAAUCAAUGUAAGAAAUAUACACUACUUCACCGUAUACCGUAGCAUUGCUGUUAAAAUAUUAAUCAUCGAAUACUGGGUGCAGUGCAUGAGGCGCAUGUAUACACUUGGCGCAUGCAACAACUUCUCCGACCCCUCCCCCUCCCUUUCAUUUCCUUCAUUUAAAGCCUCGCAUCCUCACAUGCCCAUUUAUACCACCACCCCACUCCUUACUCUCCCCCCCACACUCCUCCUCACUUACAAGUCAAUACCCCACCUCCCCUUUCUCUCUCUCUCUCUCUCUCUCUCUCUCUCUCACACACACACACCUCUAUAUCUCUCUCUCACACUAGCUAGAAAGAUGGCGUCUACAAGGCGAAGCGGCUUCGGUCUCCGCCAGCCGGUGGUCGUCGACGUCGGGUGCAGCUGCCGGAGGCCGAAGAAGCUCUCCUCUCUCUUCUCCUCCUUCUCAAUCUCCCACUCCAAACCCAAGAACGCCUCCACCUCCUCCUCGUCCCCCGCCACCACCAUGAACACCACCACCACCACCACCACCACCACCACCACCACCGCCGCCGCCGCCUCCACCGCCUCCACCUGGGACGCCUCCUUCACCACCACCAACUCCCUCUACGAGGAGGAGGAGGAGGAGGAGUACCACCACUCCCCACAUCACCCCAUCCUCAACGAAGGGAGGAGACCCUCCGGAGCGAACAAUGGCGGGCGCAGGAGGAAGGGGGGGAGGAGGAGGAGGAGGAAGGGGCAGGGGAGGGUGGAGAGGGAGAGCGUGGCCGUGGCGGUGGAGACGGAGGAGCCGUACGAGGACUUCAAGGAGUCGAUGGUGAGGAUGGUGGUGGAGAACGAGAUCUACGCCUGGGAUGAUCUCAACGACCUCCUCCACCGCUUCCUCUCCCUCAACUCCCCCCGACACCACUCCCUCAUCCUCCGCGCCUUCGCCGACCUCUGGACCGGCCUCUUCUCCCCUCCCUCCCCCUGCCUCUAGAACUUAUAUUACAUAUUUCGCCAUGCCCAGAUCGAAGCACCUGCUUUUAUACUUUGUAAGCCCCAUAACAAUUAAUUAAUUCCCUCCCACCGAAUUAGAAGAAUAUAUAUCUUUAUAUAUAUAUAUAUAUACAAUCAAAGUAUAAAAUUUGGUGCUUUUUAUGCCGCAAUUCAAAAUUAGCUUAACAGUGGUAGUGCUUACUUAGUGUGCUUGAUAGGAUGUUAGGAUAGUUGUGUUUGGUGAAAAAAAUGUAGCGAGAGACCCUCUUGAGUAUUGGCCAUUUUAAAUCACGGCUUGUGCUUCACGAAUCAAUUAGAGCAGUUGGUCGGUAUUUUUAAUUUUCGACUAUAGAUUCAGAGUGUGUGCUUGUUGUCCAAUCUUAAAUGGCCAUAAUUCCGCCAAAUUUAACUAUAUAUAUAUAUAUAUAUAUAUAUUAUGAACACCGCUCAAUCUCGCCAUUUUUUUUUUUCCUUUUCCUUUGGAUAAAGAACCUGUUUUAAAAUGGCCAAUAGGUGAGGGGGUCUCAGUACAUUUUCUCACUUUAGGAUUUUAGCAUUGAUGAUACUGUAGGGGAUCAUACGGUGGAGAUCAUUGACAAGGUGAUGUAAUGAUGUUGUGUGUGUGAGUGUGAAAGUGUGAAUGCGUCUGUGUAGGAGAGUGGUGUUGGUGUGCGUGUGUUUUAUGAUGGGUGCGUGCUUUUGCUAAAACGGGCGCUGACUAGAAUUUACUGCGUUUGCUUUGCCUUGUAGCUUUCCCUGAUAUCUAUGUACUGGUACGUAGCUAACUAUUUCUUAUAUAUGGAAAAAGACAAAAAAAAAAAAAAAUUGUUACAUAUGUUUCUCUUAUUUUCUCGUGAUAGAUAUUUUGUCCCUGUUCCCAUUAUGUCUUGUUGUAAUUUUUUUCUUUCUAAAAUUUCAUCUAAUUAAUAUAACUUGCUAUAAAAGAAAGUUAGGUGCCAUUGUAUCAUUUAUUAUUCAUGCAGCUUUGAGAUUGUUAGACAUUGUUCUCUACCAAUUUGAACGCAUUAGGAUUUUUUCUUUUUUUUCUAUUCUUGAACUUUUUAAGUCCGACAUCAAAAUUCUACACUUAUAAAAUAUUUUAUUUCAAUUACUAAACUGUGAAUAAUGUUUUGUUUCAACUCUUAUUUCUGCAUAAUGUUUUUUUUUCCGUUGUACCUAACUUCACCUAUACAUUUAUACAUAUCAAGUUCAUGUACACCCCCUAUCAAUCUCAAGUUGGGAGAUAACAAUUUUUAAAGGGAGAACAUAACAAUUGCUGACACAAUGAGUUAUAAUUAGAUUAGUAUAAAGAGUUAAUACUAAAAUAUAUAUGAAUAUAUAGAAAUAAUAUUAAUAAGAUAUUAAUUUAUGGGAAAUUUUAUCCUCUGCUAAAAUUGUAAAUAUUGUAAACCUAGCAAAGUUGAAAUAAUAUCAUAAUAUAUUAAUAAUUAAUUAUAUAUAUAAUAUAUAUAUAUAUAUAUAUAUAUAUAUAUAUUAAUAUAUAUAUAUAUAUAUAAGUUGGACUGAGCUACAUAUUAGUACGAAAAUCUCACUGUUGAUUAUCGUUUUUAGCCUUUGAUCAACCUUUUCAUUAUUUCUUAACCUGAUUAAAUAAUAUAUAUCGCAGUUGGACACUUCACCUAUGGCGGACACUCAACUUAACCGAUAAUAUAUCUCUGACUUACAAUUUUCAUUCAUGUUACAAUUUGAUAGAAAAAAGCGUUUACAUAUACUACAUAUUAUUAUAUAUAAUGUAUGUAUAAUAUGUAUCAUUAACUAAUUUAUGUAAUAUAUAUAGUAUAUUAUUAUAUAUAUUAUGUAUAUAUAUAUAAUAUGAUGUAUAAUAUGUAUGUAUAUAUAUAGUCUAGUAAUAAUAUAUGUAUAAUAUAUAUAUAGUAUGUAGUAUAUAUAUAUAUAUUUAUUAUAUAUGUAUAUAUACUAUAUAUAUGAUUGUAUAUUAUAUAUAUAUAUGAAUAUAUAUCAUAUGUAUGUAUGUAUAUAUAGUAUUAGUGUAUUAUAUUUAUGUAUGUAUGUAUAUAUAAUAUUAUGUAUGUAUAUUAUAUAUACAUACAUACAUACAUAUAUAUAUAUAUACAUACAUACAUAUAUAUAUAUAUAUAUGUAUAUAUAUAUGUAUACAUAUAUAUAUGUAUAUAUGUAUGUAUAUAUAUAUAUAUGUAUGUAUAUAUAUAUAUAUAUGUAUAUAUAUAUAUACCGAGCAAGGCUGCUGUGCUCUUAGGAGCACGGAGGUCUCCGUGCUCCUGAGCCAUUUUCGAUGAUGGAAUUUUCGAAUCGACGAUUGGCUCCGUUAGACUUGAUCUAGCGUUUUUGAAGUUUCUAGAAAAUAAUUUUUGCGAUUUUUUGAUAUCAUUUAUCUAGUGAUCGAAAGAAUUCAAAAUCAAUAAUUUUUAAUGGUUAAUAUCUGCCAUUUUCAAGUUUAACAGUAUUGAAAAAUUCAAAUUAGAUGAAAUUUUGAUACAAAUUCUUUAUACUAUUUACAACAAGAUCAAUAUUUCUGAUCGAAAAUUUUAGUACUAUAUCACCACUUUUUAUAGGAUUUUUAUUUUCAGUCGUUAAAAAUUAUUGAUUUUGAAUGCUUUCGAUUGCUAGGAAAAUGAUAUCGAAAAAUCGCAAAAAUUAUUUUCUAGUAACUUCAAAUACGCUAGAUCAAAUUUAACGGAGCCGAUCGUCGAUUCGCAAAUUCCAUCACCGAAAACGACUCAGGAGCACGGAGGCCACCGUGCUCCUGAGAGCACAGCAGUCCUACCCUAUAUAUACCUCUUCAAAUGCAAAAAAAUUUCACAAUUAUCUUUCCUUCCGGCGGUCGUUACUAUAACCAUAGUUAAAGUUUGGUUAAAUAAGGGUUAAGUUACAAAAUGACUAAUUUAGCCCUAAAAAUGUUAGGUAUUAUUUUGACAGCAAAUAAUUAGGGGGCAAUUUCAUAAGUACCAUUCGAAAUUUUAAAAAUAACAUCUCUAGCACUAAUUAGUGGGUAAAAAAUACAGAAAUCCCUCACCUAUAGAUCAUUCUGAACUAGACCCCUUUAAGUUUUAUUUUUUAACAUUAAGAGCCCUUGAACUAUCAGUUUUUCUUUAUUUAGACUUUACUUAGUUAAAAGCUUUUUAAUUGUGAUCCCUUACAUGAAUUUGAUAAAAUUUUUAAUUUUGUUGGGAAAAAACAUUCGAUUGCUAAAAUUUUUUUUAAAAAAUUUUAGAUCAAGUCGUUUUUAGAUUACUCGUUUGAUAGAUAAAUGAUGUCGAAAAAUUAUGAAAUUUAGUUUUUAAAUACUUUUAGAUUACUCGUUUGAUAGGUAAAUGAUGUCGAAAAAUUAUGAAAUUUAGUUUUCAAAUACUUUUAAUAGUAUAGAUCAAAUCUAACAGAGCCGAUCGUCGAUUUGGAAGCCGGAUCAUUGAAAACAACUUGGUGGUACGGAGACCUCCAUGCUACCGAUAAUAUACCAGCCUAACUCUCUAUAUAUAUAGUUUUGCUACAAUACUAUUGGUAGUACAGUUCAGUUUACUACGAUUUGUUUUCAAUGAUAGAGCUUGCAAAUUGACAAUCAACAUCGUUAAAUAUGAUCUAAACCAUUUAAACUAUCUGAAAAUCAAAUUUCACGCUUUUCCAAGUUAGGAUCAUGUCGAAGUGGACUAUAGGUGAGAGGGUUUUUAUAAAAUUUUGCCGUAUAAGCAAUAAAUUUUCAAUUAAAAUUUUUUUGUUUGAGCAAUUCAUAUAAGUAAUACUCUAAUAUCAAGAAUUUUAAUAUCAAAAUAUUUUUGCGUGAGAUAUGUGAGUUAUUUAAAUAAAAUUUUAAAAAAUAAAUCUUUAAAUAAUUAAUGUUGAAUACUACUAUAGACAAUUGCAUUACAAUUAUGUAUAAUUUAAAAGCAAAAAAUCAUAAUGAGAUUUAACUAUCACAUGCGCUUAAUAGACUUUAGAUCUUUAUAUUGUAGAUUUUUUUAAAAAAUUGUUAAAAUUAUUAUGUGAUUCAAACGUUAAAAAUUGAUCAUAUAAUUAAUCUUAAAUAUUACAUGGUUAAAUUCGUGCUAGGGGUAAAAUUAAUAUUUAUAAAAUAUUGGAUGACUUCUUAACGGAAAGUUAACCUAAAGGGUAUCUGUGAAUAUUUUUUGUUUUAAGAGGGGUAUUGAUGAUAUUUGGCCCGUUUGGCCUAGCUUCUGAAAAAGUGAUUUUUGAAAAAGUUAUUUUGGCUUGGAGAAAUGAUUUUGGUUAAAAACUAUAGAGUGUUUGGCUGAGUUUAGAUAAAAGCGAUUUUUCUGAACUGAUUUGAAAAUGCUGUUUGGCAAAUUUUUUUUGAUGUUUGCAUAAAUUAAUAAAUUUAUUAAAUUUUAUUUUAAAAUAAUUUAAAUUUACAUUUAAAUUUGAAUUAAAAAUAAAAUUUGAUAUUUUAAUUUAAAAAAUAAUUUAAAAAAUUAAAAAUUAAAAAUUUAAGAAUUUAAAUUUUAAAAUAAUUAUGAAAUUUAAAAUUUAAAAUUUAAAAUCUAAAUUUAAGAUUUGAAAUUUGAAAUUUAAAAUUUAAAAUUUAAAAUAUAAUAAUUAUUGAUGUUAAAAAUAUAAAUUUAUUAUUUAAAAAUUAAAUUUAAAAUUUAAAUUUCAAUAAUUAUAAUUAUAAAAUAUAAAAUUUGAAAUUUGUUAAUAUUAAAAUUUUAAAUUUUAAAAAUUUAUAAUUUGAAGAUUAAAACUUGUAAUUUAAAAUUUAAAAUUAUUAAAUUUUUAAAUUUUAAAUUUUAAAUUUAAAUUUUUAAAUUGAAAUUUUAAAAUCUAAAAUGUAAAAUUUUAAAUUUUAUCUUAAAUUUGAAACUUAAAAUUUGAAAUUUUAAAAUCUAAAAUUUGAGAUUUGAAAUUUGAAAUUUAAAAUUUAUAGUUUGAAAUCUAUUUUUCAAAUUUUUAAAUUUGAAAGUUAAAUUUUAAAAAUUCAAAAAUGAAUAUGAAAAUGAAAAAUUAAAAUUAAACAUUGAAUUGAAAAUUAAAAUAAAAAUUUAAAGUUUGAGUGCAAAAUUAGAAUCAGAUUUUAAGAAGCAGUUUUUUUCUGCUUCUGUUUUUGGGGCCUUCAAAAUCAAUUUUCUUAUUCUACAAGGUAGAAUCAGAUUUUAAAAAUGAGGUUGUCAAACGGUCUGUUGAGCCGAAAAUUACUUUUGAACCCAAAAACACUUUUUAAAAGGUAGGCCGAAUUCCUCCAUCUAGUUUAGAGGAUUAUUCGUGAAAUU